RNAcentral lists this long non-coding RNA (81312 nucleotides) under Citrus maxima (pomelo). Its description in RNAcentral is "long non-coding RNA (CMAX_LNC001420)". The record is from RNAcentral. Lineage: Eukaryota; Viridiplantae; Streptophyta; Magnoliopsida; Sapindales; Rutaceae.
GUUAAACCUGUCUAGAUUACACAAAGUGCAGCAUCUCUGGAAGGAAAAUGACGAAUCCAACAAAGCGUUUGCAAACUUGGGAAGUCUAGAAAUAUCGGAAUGUAGUAAGUUGCAAAAAUUAGUACCACCUUCGUGGCAUUUGGAAAAUCUUGCGACUCUGGAAGUAUCGAAGUGUCACGGGUUGAUAAAUUUAUUGACGCUCUCAGCAUCUGAAAGUCUAGUGAAUCUUGAAAGAAUGAAGGUAGCUGAUUGCAAAAUGAUAGAAGAAAUCAUACAAUUGCAGGUUGGAGAAGAAGUGAAAGGCUCCAUUGUCUUCGAGAAAAUGAACUACUUGACACUUGAUUGUUUGCCAAGCCUAACAAGCUUUUGUUCGAGUAAUUACACUCUUCAAUUCCCAUUCUUGCAAAAAGUAGUUGUGAGACAGUGCCCAAAGAAGAAGAUUUUCUCUCAAGGAGUCGUAGACACACCAAAUCUAAACAAAGUGAAACUCACCGAAGAAAAAGAUGAUGAUGAUGAUGAAGAAGAUGAUGAUGAUGAAGGAUGUUGGGAAGGCAACCUCAAUGACACCAUAAAAAAAUUGUUCAAUGAAAUGGUGAGUAUCAAUUAAGUUUUGGUGCUAUUUAGCAAAUUAUUUUAUAGAAACUAGUGUGACAUAAUAUGAUUGGUUGACUGAAAAUAUAUAAUAAUAAUAGUAAAUAAAUAAAUUAUGAGGAGCAUGUAAUGUUUUUGUUUAACCAAUCAUAUUAUGUCGCAUUAGUUUAUACAAUAUUAUUUGUGCACAAGAGGUGGUGGUCAUAUCAUUACUCUAGUUUUAUUAUUCUUAUGGUGGCAAUGUAUGCUUGCUUACACGAGUAAUUACAAAAUCUGCAGAAUUCUAAAGAAGAGAUUGAGCCAAUCCUUCAGGUACAGUGAAGAAGCUAUCCCGAACCAGGCCAAUCUCUUAUACAUGAUUUAGCUUGCUCGUUCUUCUGUACUUGAAUAAUUUGGCUCUACAUAUUUACAAUUUUUUGCUCAUGCUACAGACUUGCAAGACACUUUGGAUUUUGUUUGAUGCAUUCUCCGUUUAAGAAAGGACUUGAAUUGAUGUUUCAUGUUUCAUGCAAUAUUCGAUUAGAUUCUGUCUAAAUUUCUGUAUUAUUCGUUCAAUUGGUCUUUUAAGCAUUUGAUUUCUAACCUCUCCUAAUAGAAUAUCAUUAGCCGAUGAAAACAGCAUAACAUUUGUGGUUGUGGCAUUAUCAGAAUAAGAAUAUUUUUUAGUAUAGUAAAAUUAUCUCGACCACUGUUAAAAAGAAUUAAACAGUCAAACUGACCUUCUCACACCAGCACGCUUUAAAUUAAAAGAAUUUCAUGAAGUCAAGACCAUGUUAUAGAUCUUGUGGAAAUAAGUGAACCCGUAAUUUUUUUCACACCAUCAUAAGAAAAAUCAUUUUUUUUAAGUAUUUUUGUUAGCUGUUGAGUUUUAAUAGUAGUAGCUAUUAAACAAUAACAAUUAGUGUAUAUUAAAAAGUUGGAAACUGGUUGAUACCACUCGGGAAUCGAGCAGUUCACUUGUUUGCGAGUAGAAACCAACUUUACUACUAAUUACACUCAUACCAAAAAUAGUGACGAAAGAAUCAGGGAAUUUCCUAUUCACUAUUCUUCAUUUUUUAAUGCAAAAUUCCCAUUCGAAAACACCAAUGACUUUCAUUCAAAGUAAAUGAGAAAUUACAAUGAAAAUAGAAUCAAAAUACAUAUAUGUAUACCUAAAACAAAUGAUUUUUUUAAUUAAAAAAAAAAUACAGUUGAGGUGAAAUGAAACCAGAGUCAUGAUAUCUCUGGUUCCAACUUUGGGACAACAGCAGACUUGAGUUCUAUAUGAGAAACACGUACAGCACCAAUCAGCCGCUCCAGUAAUUCAUCUGUAGUAUUUGCCUGCAUACAGAAGAGCAAGAUAAAGAAGACAAACACAGAAGCAUUAUAUCAUUCUGAGAACAUUCAAGUAUGCAAAAAUGCAAGUUGCAGUGCAAUAUCUCAAAAUCAUGUCUUUUCCCUUGUGUCCAUUUAGCAGUGGGGGAAAAAAACAAUCAUACAUACCUGUACAAGGAAAGCCAUGUCAACCACCAAUGUCGUAAUUACACCAAUUACAAGGCCCAAAACUCCAUUAGCAACAGUAGAAGAAUCGAUGUCAACAUCAAUCUACAGAAAGAUGAACAAUGUUAAACCAUGUUAAAGGUAUUGGACGCUAUUUGAAAGGGGAACAUCUCAUGUACUAUAGAAAUUCCAAGAGCAUUUACUUCUAAGUACUUGGGACCGCGAAUAUAGUUACAAUCAACUGCCUUCCCCAAUAAACAAGGGGUGCUUCCAACACUCUGGCGCACUAUCCAUGACCCCUGCAUGAUUCAGUGCUUAAAAUCAAGAACAAGUGCAAAACAAAUUCAAGAGGGUAAAAAGGACAUAGUUUGAAUCUGAAUCCAAAUCCAUUAAUCCAGAGUUCAUAGCUUGGAUGAAGACUGAUCAACUUCUGUUGAGUUGGAUGAUGUCGUCGAUACAGCAAAAUCUACUUGCUACUGUGAUUGACUCCACAACUUCAAAACAGCUUUGGGAGACUCUUACUAGUAUGUUUAUUUCUUAAUCACAAGCUAGAAUCCAAACACUUAGAAUGCAGAUUCAAACUAUUAAGAAAAGUGCAAUGCAUAUGUCUGAUUACUUUGCAAAAGUAAAACGUAUAGCUGAUACUUUAGCUCUAGCUGGAAAACCUGUUGAGUUAAGUGACCUUGUGAUGCAUGUAUUAACCGGUCUUGAUUCAUCAGAUUAUGAAUCUUUAGUCACAGCUAUUUUAGCUCGAGGUGAGAAGAUAACAUUAGAUGAACUAUAUCCUUUGCUGUUGAAUCAUGAAAAUAGAGUUGAGCAAAAGAAAGGAAAAAUUGCUGGUGAUGUGAUGCACAAUAUAACAGCAAAUAUUGCUCAGAAGAACUCAUGCUGGAAAGAAUAAUGGCAAUUUUCAAAAAAAUUAUGGAAAUAAUUCUGGAGGUGGAAAUAAUUCUAGGUAUGGAGGUUUUAAUGGAUAUGGAUAGGGUCAGUUUAAUAAUGGUGGUAAUUCCUUUGAAAUUGUUUGUCAAAUCUGCUUAAUACCUGGUCAUGCAGCCAAUAGAUGCAAAAAUAGGUACAAUUCAUCUUUUGUUCCACAAAGAAACUAUGGCAGAGGUAAUAUGAAUGGUGUCAGAGGUUUUAAUCAAGGGCAAUAUGGUAGAGGAAGAGCUUUUAAUGGUAAUGGUGGCAGAGGUUUUGGAGGUUUUGGUUUAAAUGCCGGUUUUGGCUAUGCACCCAGGGGUUUUGGCUAUCAAGGAAAUAUAGUGUAUCCAGAUAGGAAUCCUUCUGCUUAUUACUCAUUCACCCUUGGACCAUCUACUUUUGUUUCUGGUCAAGGAAAUAAUAAUCCUGGACAGUCAAGUGCUUCAUCUUCCUCAGCUAUGCCUUCUUCACUUCCACCAGAACACAUUGAAGAUCCUUCAUGGUAUAUUGAUAGUGGAGCAACAAAUCACAUUACAAAUUAUCUAGGUAAACUUCUGGAUUCACAAGUUUAUACUAGUACUGAAAAAUUGUUUGUUGGAGAUGGAAAUGCAUGAGCUAUUACACAUGCAGGAUCAGUUGUGCUAAAUACUUCAACUUCUAAACCUUUAAGAACCAUCUUCUGCAUGUCCCUUUUAUUACUAAGAAUUUGCUUAGCAUUUCAAAAUUAUUGGCUGACAAUCCAGUUAUUGUUGAAUUUCUUGGUGAUUUGUGUUUUAUAAAGGCUAGGAACACAGGGAAAAUUUUACUUGAAGGUGUUGCUAAAGGUGACUUGUAUAGAGUCUCUUCACAUGUUGCUGCUCAUUCAGUCUUUCUCAUUUCAGUUGGUCAAAAUAAAACUCACUCUCUUUGCUUGUUCUCCUGUUUUCAAUUCUGAUCAGCUCACUGCUGUUAGUUCUUAUGAAUUGAAUAAAAAGUCAUGUCUGUCAGUUGUUACAAAGAGUUCUAUUGAUGUAAAUCUUCUUCAUAGAAGAUUAAGACACCCAGCAUCUUAUACUCUCAAAACUAUACUCAAAACUUGUAACAACUCUACUGCUUAUAAUAAAAUUGAAAGCUUGAAAUUUUGUUCAGCAUGUCAAUAUGGGAAAAAUCAUAUGCUGCAUUUUGAUUCAGUUGAAACAAAAACUUCAGCACCCUUACAAGUGAUAUAUGCAGAUCUUUGGGGUCCUUCUCAUGUCUAUUCUACCCAAGGAUAUAAUUACUACUUAUCAAUCUUAGAUGAUUAUAGUAGAUUUACCUGGAUAUUUCCAUUGUCAGCCAAAUCUGAUGCUCUUGAAGUGUUUACCAAUUUCAAAAUUUUUAUUGAAAAGCAUCUUCAACUUCAAAUCAAAACUGUCCAAACUGACUGGGGAGGAGAGUUCAGAACACUUUCCUCAUUACUCACUGCUUCUGGUAUCCAUUUUAGACACCCUUGCCCACAUAUUCAUCAUCAAAAUGGAAGAAUUGAGAGGAAACAUAGACACAUAGUUGAUGUAGGUCUGACCUUAUUAGCUCAAGCACAUUCACCACUCAAAUUUUGGUGGAAUGCAUUCCACACAGCUGUCUAUUUGAUAAACAGACUUCCAACUCCAGUUCUAAACAACAUUUCUCCUUUCCAAAAGUUAUUUCAUCAUCAACUAGAUUAUUCAACACUUAAAACCUUCGGUUGUGCUUGUUAUCCAACACUCAGACCAUACAAUAGACAUAAGUUUGAUUUCAGAACUGCCAGAUGUAUAUUCAUUGGCUACAAUUCACAACACAAGGGAUAUCAGUGUCUUCACUCUUCUAAGAGGGUUUACAUUUCAAAUCAUGUCACCUUUGAUGAAAAUUCUUUUCCUUGUGAGUCUGGAGCAGAUUUUUCUUCACUCUCUUCAAGUUGUCAGUCAACAAAAAACUAUAAGUCUUCUUUCAAUUCCUCUGUUCCUUCUGUUACUCAGUUACAAGCACCUUUAGCAGCAUCAUCAGAACACCAUCAAAAUGUUCAUCAUUUAGAUGCUCCUACUCCCUCACCAAAUUCUACUCCACUUUAUUUUUCUGAUAAUUCCAACUCAGCUUCUUCUUCUUCACCACCACAUAAUUCACCUCCACAUACAUUGCCACAACCUGCAUCAACUGGUCAUCCAAUGAUAACCAGGUCAAAAGCAGGUAUUUUCAAGCCAAAAAUUUAUUUGUCAGCUUUAUUAGCCCAAAAAUCAGAACCAACUUCUGUUUCCCAAGCACUUUCUGAUCCUAUGUGGUAUAAGGCUAUGCAAGAAGAGUAUCUAGCACUUAAAACUAAUCACACCUGGGAUUUAGUUUUACCUGCUACUCCAGUGAAGAUAGUUGGCAGCAAAUGGGUGUUUCGAAUAAAGUAUAACUCAGAUGGUUCAGUUUCAAGAUAUAAAGUCAGGCUUGUUGCAAAGGGGUUUCAUCAGACACAUGGGAUUGACCAUACAUAAACUUUUAGUCCAGUGGUUAAAGCUUCAACUGUUAGAGUUAUUCUUAGCUUAGCAGUAUUGAAUCAAUGGGUGAUUAGGCAAGUAGAUGUUAAUAAUGCCUUUCUAAAUGGCAUUUUAAUUGAAGAGGUGUACAUGGCUCAACCUGAAGGUUUUGUUGACUCAACUAAACCUAAUCAUAUCUGCAAGCUGAAUAAAGCUUUGUAUGGCUUAAAACAGGCACCCAGAGCCUGGUUUGAUAGAUUCAAGGAUGCAAUGAUCUCUAAACAGCAUUUCCAACAUUCAAGGUCUGAUAACUCUCUGUUUCAUGCCUGGAACAGUGGUCAUCUAACUCUUGUUUUGGUCUAUGUUGAUGAUAUUAUCAUCACUAGUUCCAGUCCAACACUAAUUCAGCAAGUUAUUCAGAGUAUGAAUCAAGCCUUUGCUUUAAAAGACAUGGGGGAACUUAGCUAUUUUCUGGGGAUUGAAGUCAGCAAGUCUUCAUAAGGGGUUUCCUUGACACAAGCAAAGUAUAUUACUGACAUUCUAGAUAAACAUGGCAUGACAGAUUGCAGUCGUGUGCCUACUCCAAUGUCUACUGGUUAUUAUCUCACAAAAGAAUCAGGAGAGCUAAUUGAUAAUGUUUCUCAAUAUAGGAGUGUUAUAGGAGCUCUUCAAUAUGUUACUCUUACCAGACCUGACAUUGCUUUCUCUGUAAACAAGCUAAGUCAAUUCCUUUCAAGUCCUAGAACACAACAUUGGGAAGCAUGCAAAAGGUUAUUGAGGUACUUAAAAGGCACUAUACAUCUUGGGCUGCAAUUUAAUAACAAAGGAGCUUUGCAACUACAUUGUUUUUCAGAUUCUGACUAGGCUUGUGAUCGUGAUGAUAAGAAGUCACUGGUUGGCUUUGCUGUUUACCUAGGCCUUAAUCUAGUCUCAUGGUCAUCAAAGAAACAAGCUGUUGUUUCCAGGUCCAACACAGAGGCUGAGUAUAGAUCUCUUGCUCAUGCUGCUUCAGAGGUUCCCUGGAUACAAUCUUUACUUGGUGAACUUAACAUCAAAUUGAGCUCUACUCCUAUGAUGUGGUGUGAUAAUCAAGAAGCAAUUGCUUUAGCUUACAAUCCAGUCUAUCAUGCUAAAACUAAGCAUGUCGAAUUGGAUAUACAUUUUAUCCGAGAUAAAGUUACUGCUAAAGAGAUUGAAGUAUGUUUUGUGCCCAGUCAAGAUCAAACAGCAGAUGUGUUGACUAAGGCUUACUUUCAAACAGUUUAGUUACUUAAGAAGCAAGCUGAAUGUUCAUCCUAAACAUUUCAGCUUGAGGGGGGAUGUAGUGAAUUGAAUGAAGUUGGAGCAAAGCAUGAUGUUGCUGUGUAGCUGACUGUAGCAGAUCAACUCACUAGGCUGACCUGGCAAAGUUAGUUAGCUGGUUGAGCUGAUGUGUCAAAUUAGUUAUGCAGCAAAUGGUUAUGUGAUGUAAAAAACUUGUGUGUGUGUUGAGCAAAUUGUAGCUUAAUAUAAAUAUCAGUCUGUAUUCAUUUAGUUGUAAUGCUAGAGUAAUAAAGGUUCUACAAACUUCUUUACAGCGCUUUCUUUUAUUUUCUUUCAUUUUCUAGCUUGCCAAACAAUACAAAACUAAGUUUCUUUCGGAAAAGGAAAAAUAAAAAGAAAAGAAUAGUUACUUGUGCAGUACAGCCUUGACGCCUAGCUACAUGGUCCAUUCUCUGUGUCUUUGAACCAAUCAACAGCAACAAGAUCCAUUAAAUGUUUUCCCGCAGGUAUCUGCAGUUACAAAUUGCACAAAGCACAAGAGCCAACCAAACUACAUCAUAACCUGUCGACCUAGCAUAUGCAGGAUAUAUAACUACCAUAACAAACAACCAAAAUAUGGGGGAACCUUUGUUUUGUCAUAACAAAAAUGCUUGCUACGAACUCUAAAGUUAUUUCCACCAGAAAGUUUCCAGCAGUCACGAGCAUUAUCACAGUCAUCGUGUCGCAGAUUGCCUGAAAAAUAAGAAAAAUCAAUUUGAUCAGCCUGCUCUUCCUCUAGGGUAGCAACUAAUUGAAAAUUAUAAACCAAAAAAAAAAAUCAAUACCAUAAAAAUCCACUAAUGAGGACAUUAGCCAAAUAUACAAAAAUGAAUACUUAUCAUCCACCUGUCCUCUUGAAAUCAUUCUCAAUCUUUUUUUCAUUUGAUGGCAGGAAUUAUUGAAAUUGGAGCCAUUUUUUUUGUGGGAAUUGAAAUAUAUUCUUUAAAUUAUUACAUAAAUAGCAAAAUGUACAUACACACACAUAUAUAUAAUUCAUAUAUAAAAAUUCUCUAAUUUGUUCACAAGUACCAUAGAUUAUAAUUCAGUUAUGAAAUAAAAUAACUACAAUAAUUAUAGUUAAAUGAAUACUUCAUUAAUUCUUAAUUUGCUUCCUAACAUUAAAUGAACAACUUGAGUCAGCCACCUGAAUCAACCAGUAACAACGCCUGAGUCAACCAUCUGAAAAAACCAGCAACCCUAGCUGAUUCAAGCACCUGCAAUUAACAUCAACACAACAGGAACAAUCAUAAAUCAGCACCAAGAACAGACCAAACUGCCAUCAAAUGCCACAAAACCAAACAGUCUGCUACUGCCAUCAAAUGCAAGCAAACAUAUGCAACAAAACCAGAUGCAAGUGAAAUUCUGGAGAAUAUCGGAUAAACCAAACCAAAUGCCACACUUCUAGUAAUUAGACUAGAUGCAGUGUUCAAUUAAACUAAAUGUAGUCUCAUAUUACAUUCAAAUUUUCUAAAAAAACCAGUGUUCCAUCAGAGAAGCACCAAAACCAAACCAAUCUAAUCCAGCAUAAUUACCAGCUCAACCCAAAACAAUUACACAUUAUAUUGACAUAUCAAAAUUCGCUAUCAAAACAUAGCCAAAUAAAUGACAAUAAACUGAAAACAGACCCGAACCAACUGAUGUUGCAGCCCUAGUAGUCAUUGUGCGUUCCACUGCCAUAGGAGCGAGGGUAGGCUCCGUUGUUGAUGAGUGAGUAAGAUAAGGCUCCAAAUCAAUAGUUCCACCUCCUUUCUGCAAUUCAAAAAACAGAAAUUCAUAUAUGUAAAACUAUUAAAAAGUGUGAAACAACCUGUAAGUAUUCAACUUCUGUCAACUCAAUAGCACUUACUAAAGUUUUUAUACAGAAGAAAAAGGCAUUUUAAGUCCAAAAAAUUAGAAUUAUUGGUUGAACUCCAACUCCAUCAAUCCAUGCAACCAUCCAACCUUUAACGAAAAAAUGAAGCAUAAUUAACAAGACAUCUGAAUCAGAAAGAUUGUGCUUUGAUUUGGCACGAGGUGUUGGAAACAACUUAACAAAUCUAGACACAAUCUAUAACCAUCAAGUCCAAACAAAAGUCAGGAUCUAAAAUACUUUGAAAAAUCAGAAAAACCGCAAAAUAUCAGUUUCAAUUUCUUUUUCACCCAUUGUAAGCUCAAACUGAAGGUAGCGGCGCUACCUUUAAACAUCAUUUGGGCUUAUACAUGUGACAUUUGCUCAUGAACAACUAAAGUUGAAUAAGAUUUUUAUAUGAAACGGAAUAUAAAAAGUCAAAGUAGAAUAUGACAGGACCAACAAUAUAUUAUUCAGCAUUAGCAUUAUGUAUAAAAUAAAUUUAGAGGCAUCAUAUUCAUUCACAAUCUUGCAGAGGUAAUACCAGAUUAUGGCACGCAACUCUUGAAUAGCAGAUAAAGGAGGAGAUGCAGUGGGAAGGUAGUAACUUGCUUGCAUGAGAACUAAAAAGUAAUAUCCCAAGAUCAAUUAUAGAUCUCAUAAAACAAAAACAGUGAGGCAAACACAAUUAUUGUGAACAAUUAUUCAUAGAACCACAUAGCAGCAACAAGAUCAAAGUCAUCUGUGUAUAAAUCGAUUCCCCACAGCUGACUGCCUCUGACCUAAACAUAAUGAAAUUACAUAACUAAGAAGUAGAGUCAUAAAAUAUGCUGCUGUAACAGCUAUCAAUAAAUUUCCAGACAAAUGGAAUUUGAUAUGUAAGGCUAUAACUAGCAACACUUCAAAAUAAUUUGAAGUAGCAUGAUCUUACUUUAAGGAUCAAUACUACAAUCUUUCAGAAAAAUUAAAGUCUAACCAAAAUUAAAACCUUAAACAUACUAAAAUCUGGUAAAUAGACCUAUAGGAAUUCCAAUGACCUCCAAAAUAUUUGAAAGAAAAAUUAAUUUACAGCAAAAAAUGUUAAAGAUUUGUAAAAUGGAGGCCCAUACUACUAUUCAAAUUACAAAAGAGGAAAGGGAGCUGGCCAUUAAAUGAUAAAGGCAUGCAUAAAGAAAUACGAGCACCACAUUAAAUGAUAAAGGCAUGCAUCGAGAAAUACAAAAAAUAUGCCCAUAAAGACGUCCACUCAAGCCUUAUAAGCGGCUUUAUGCAAAGGAAAGCCAAUUAGUUAACAGUAAAUGAAUUUCAAGGUGCAAUAAUUAAACUCCCUGAUCAGCACAUUUAAGGUUCAUGCAUUUCUACAAAACAUGUAAAUCAUAAGAACUUUUUUGGUCCAAAUGCUAACCAGUAAUUAAGUAGAUUAUCAAAGUAGUCACAGAACAAGCACCACAUUGAUUGCUAUGCAAAAGAUGAAAGUAAAAGUUAAUACUUUAUUUUAUUUUACUUUUCGAGAGUUUUGAUCAUCAUGUGCAAAAUAGUAGUAUAACUUGCUCAGUGUUAUCUCAAAAAGCUUGCUUAAAAUACCUAUUAGCACCAGUCCAAGUUGUCAAAUAAAUCCUUAUCUAUCCAUUCAUCUCUGACCUUGCCAAAAAGAUUUAAACGAGCAUCUAUAUUCUCACUCCAAUCUUUCACAAUCAUAGGCUUUAACUUAGACCAGUUCUUCAAUAUCCCUUCCACUGUGAGCCCCUCGAAAACCUUGUAAAUUGAAUCACAUUUGUCGUCAGUUUCAAAUCCAUCUGUCAAAAGGCUAAGCAAAUGAAUAUACAAUCAACACCAUUCUUCCAAACGAAUAUACAGUCAACACCAUUCUUCUAAACACAAACAAAGUUUGAACGUAUGACAGAUUUUUAGCCAUUUAAUAUUCCAUCAAAUAUAAUUAGAUCACACCUACCAAGGAUUUUUGAAAAGAAUGCAUUCUCAUCUUAAGCAGCAACCUCACUAGUAACACAUUUUCAUACCCUGUUUCCACCUCUGGUCGCACCACCAAAAAAAAUUCAGUACUAAUUAGCUUUAAUAUGUAAAUUUUCGCUUAGUUUAAGCUAGGGUUUUCUUUCGAUUGAAACAGAGGAAAGCUUUUGGGUUAUUAAAGUGAAAGAUAUGGAAUAAUACAAAAAAUUAUUGAAGUGAAAGAGCAGGAAUACAAAAAAUCAGCAGAUGAGAUCGUUGAAAGAUGCGGAGGUUUGUAUAUAAAUAUUAAAUUGAUCGUUGAAAGAUGUAUAAACCUCCAUAAAAUUGAGUUACGACUUGAAGGAUUGUAUAUAAACAUUAAAUUGAUCUAAUUUAACUUGUAUGUAAACACUAAAUUGUAUAUAAAUACACAAAACAGAACCAUAUCAGUGUUGGAAAAAAAAUAAGAAUCCAGAGUUAUAUAAAUUCAAUAAAAAAGUAUUGAAUUUUUUAUUACUAACUUUGAACACUCUAAUUUCAAUAAAAAAAAUAUAUUACUAAAAUAGUCUUAAUUGAAUUUAAUAUUAAAGAUAUUAGAAUAACUCAACACUAAUAUUCUCAAAUAUAUUUCUCUCCAUAGUCUAAUCUAAUCCAUUCUAAGAAUCCUAUAGAAAAUCUAUUAUUUACUUUUUCCUUAUUAAACACAAAAACAUGUCAUUUUGUUGCUAACUAAAAUUUUGGAACUAACAACAGCAGAUUAACUAAAAUUAUCAGGAAAAGAAAUCAAACAGGAUUUUAAUCGUCAUCAUCUUCACUCUUGCCUUUUUCUUUUUCUUCACACAUGUGGCUUGCACACGCAUUCCCCUCUCUCAUCCUUAGGGCCGCCCUUCAACAAUAUCCAAUCAUCGAUUAUAAUUAUUUAGAUUGACCAAAUCAAGCUUUGAUCAUAUAUCGGUUGAGGUUAGAAGUAGGCAGGCAGCAACGACAAUACUAAUUAAUAUCUCAUGAGAAUUUUAAAAAAGAAUCUAACGUUGCCCAAUUCGUUUGAUUUCAAUGAAAUCUUUCUCCUACCUAUACUUUCGCAUAUUCUCUUUUAUUUCCAAAGUUAAGGUUAUGGAUGUUGUAGAGUAAAAAGAUGAACAUUGCUAGGAAAGCAAUAAAAGGAAAUAAAUAAAAAUUAAAAAUAUAAAAAGAGUUAAGUCAUUUUUUUUGUCUAUUAGUGUUUUUGUAUUUAAUAACGAAAGAUAAAAAUGAAGUAAAUAUUAUCUGUUAGAUUAUUAAAAUACAUACUUAAAAUGUUUUAGUGACAAUCUAAUUAUAAAUUAAGGGUCUAUUUGAGAUUGAGAUUGAACAGUUAAAAUGUUAUAGUUGUUGUAGUUUAGAAGUUAAGAUGAUUUGAUUUUACACUUAUAUGAUAAAAAAUUAUUAUAUCUUUAUUAAUUUUAUCAAAAUUAUUAUUAAAAAAACUAAAUUUAUUAUAUACUAUUAAUUUUUAUUUUAUACUUAAAAUUUUUUUUUUCUUACGGCAAAAGUUUUAGCACCUCAAUACCCAACCAAGUCUAAAACUGCACAAUAAUAAUUAUGAGUGUGCAUGUUAAAAUCUACACACAUUCUUUAAUUUCAAUCAACAGUGUUACAAACUUAGUUAAAAUAUUAUAUCUGAAAUUAUUGAGGGGAAAAAAAAAGAAAAAAGAAUGUUGUUUUCAUGAUAGUGACAUGCGUCGUGCACAUUUUGCUGUUGGCUCUUUGGUCUCUAACCUAGCGAAUAGGUUGCUGUGUCCUCGUUGUUAGAUGCCCGAACCCAGCGCAAGAACUUUGUACGAUACCAUAUAUUUUGUAUGAAUUUAAGCUGAAGUUGGUACCUUUUAUUGUUUUAUAUCAUGACAUCAGGGAAAUUUUUAAUAGAUCUUCAUUUUAGGCUAAAGUACCCGAACAAUAGUUCCCAUGCACUUUGUGAUCUUUUUACAAAAUAUUAAACUAAAUAGCUGUGGAAGUAACAAAGAGGGCAACUUUUUACCAUAAUGUGAUGAAAAUAAUUUAUUUGUUGUCAUCACGAACUAACCAAAUCAAAACAAAAAACUAACUCAAAUCUGUGCGUCUAGUAACUUAUAUGAUGAUCAUUAGAUCUUGUUCUUGUUAAUGCGUCUAGUAACUUAUAUGAUGAUCUGAUGAUAUCCGUAACAUUAACAUACCCAUAAUCCAUUAUUUUAUAAUUAUAAAAAUUGAAGAUUCGGUCAUGCAAUUUUGUAUGAUGAACAGUGUUUCAUUUUUCUGUGAAACAUAAGAACAAUUUGUAAAUAAUGUCCAUGCGGACCUUGUAAUAGCGAAGCAUCAUUAUUGAUCUUACUUUGAUGAUCGCACUUUAGUUUCUUUUUAAAGUGCCUUUUGUUUAUUUUAUCGGCAUCCGCUUUUACAAAAGUUUUGGUCCUCGUUCAUUCAUCAAAGCUUCUACUUUUAUCUUUUAUUAGGCAUCUUAUAAAAAGCUUAAUUUAAUUGGAUUCAUGUUCGAUAUGAAGAUUGUUUUACUUACUUCAAUCUUUCAAUCAACCGAAUUUAUUCUUUUCUGAUCUGGAAAUUAUUCAUGAAAAAAUAGGCGCGUCAGUAGGACAACAGGGACCAAGUACAUAAUAUGAAAAUUCAUUUGUAUUGCUUACUCUAAUAAGCUCUUAAACUCACACAUUCCUCUGCAGUUACCAGUGAUCUUUUGCUCACUAAAAUUGUUAAUAUAUAUUCAAGGUGAAUAAAGAAACUCAUCAUCCCAGAUAAUUAAAGAGGUGAACUUGUUCUAAAUCCUUUAAUAAUUUCUAUUAAUAGCAUAUAUAAUCUCUAAUCCUUGAUCUUGAUAGUAGUUCUUUCUUAAUGUCCAAGAAAAAUAUCUCUCAUUUGUCUUAAUCUUGUCAUUUAAUUUUCUUGAAUUCUGAGUUAGUGUUUAUUGUUAAAUUCGGUUUUCGGUUAGUAGCUGUUGGUUAAUAGCUUCGGUUAAUCCUUGAAUUAAACAUAUUAAAAUCUAAUCAUAAACCCGCCUUUCCCUAUUUUACGACACCCUUUGUGUAAUAGUGACUUCAAAAGUGUAACAUAUUUUUGAACAAUUGCAAGGAAAGAACAUAUUUGACACUUCACGAAACGGUAAAUAUAUAAGCUUCAAUUCUUGUACAACAAAUUAAUAUAACCAACAUCAACCGUCAAUUGAUCAAUAAUUCAGUAACAAAAAGGGACAGAUAUCCUAGUCUUUCUUUACUAAUGAAGCAAGCCAUUAAACUUCGAAAGCUAUUUCUAUUUCCACAUUCUUCAUGUACCAAAGCCAAAAAAAAAAAAAAGCAACAAAAAUUUGGAAGUAAUCAUCUUUAUUCAGCAGCAUGCAUAUUAAUUAAAACAUAUUCAAAAAGAGAUAUACAAUAUCAGGUCUGGAGACGAAAUGAGCCCACAGAGACUACCAAUAAUGUAGUGGCUUGAUUAAAAAUAUUAAUCAAGCCACUACAUUAGAAGAACAAGAGUUAAUCAUGCAUAUUAAUUAAAAAUAUUUUUGCUAUCAUCCACCUGUUCUCUCUAAAUAGUUGCCACUUUUUUUUUUCGUUUGUCUGAAAUUCCAAGCAAAAAUAUAAUUAGAAGAACAAGAGUUAAGGGUUAAAAAAAUGGAAAAAUAGGGCUCCUCUGUUUUCAUUCCCCUGUUUUUCUGUUCGGUGAUUACAAAGAUUUAAAUCAAAAUUUAUGAUGCAGGCUACACGGCACCUGGUGGAAGACUGCUAGGGUUUACCUUUUAUUGUUAGUUAGAAAUUUAAUUUAGAAUUUGUAGUGUUUGCCUUAUAUAAGUAGGUUUCCUAAUAGUAAAAUUAAAUAAUCAAGUUUAUGAUGCACUAGGAUAUGGUUGUGAUAAAUGAGCUUUUUAUGUAUCCUGUGAGGCUGAUUAUUAUUUUAUUACAUUGAAGAUUCAGUCAUCUCUUGGUAGUCUUGUGAAUCAAGCGGAUUUAGUUAGUAGUAGGUAAUACUCUGGACUUCACAUAGUAAACGGAAUGGAGCAUUAUUUUAUCCCGCUAAAUCAGUUUUUUUUUUAAUUAAAAAAUAAUUCAUCAAACACUUUAUAGCUCUGGUUUUAAGUUGGUAAACACUUUAAGCCGCAACUUUAAAUUCAGUUUACGAGAACUCCUAACAGUCACUGUGGCUUGGGUAGAAAUGAAUAUACUAGCAUAAGUAAUGCUACCCAGGAAAUGUAGUUGAACCUAACCAAACUAAAACCAGAUGAUGAAAGCUUAUAUACGCCAAGAGAUUUAUUCGUUUCUGAGUUUGUUUCCAGAAACCCGGAACCUCCCCUGUUUCUACAAACACGGCACCUUUGUUUUCAUUCCCCUGUUUUUCCAUUUGGUGAUUGUAAAAAUCUAAAUCUAAAUUCUUGAUGCAGUCUACACGGCACCUGCUAGAUGAUUGUUUGGGUUUAUCUUUUAUUCUUAAUUAUCAAUUUAAUUUAGAUUCGUAGUGUGCACCUUAUGAAAGAUUAAAUAGAAUAAUGUGAAAAAAAAAGAAUGCCUUUGUUAAUUUUGACUUCAUAAUGUUGCAGUAACCGUCCUCUCUUAUCAUUCCCCUGUUCUUUGGUUUAGUGAUUGCAAAUAACAUUCUUUUCAUCUACUCUUUAUUUAUUUAUUUUUAAUUUUUAACUCAUUAAUUCUUGUUCUUCUUAAAGCGUUUAGUAAAUUAUAUGAUCACCUGAUCAAAUCCCUCACAUUAACAUACAACAUAACUAACAAAGUGUUGGCUCCACUGGCAAUGGAGUCUCCUCAAGUGGCUUAACUGGAUUUGCUCUCCAGUUCGACUCGCAAGGAAGUCGCCUUUGUUGGGAAAACUUGUACCAAAAACUCUGAUCUGUUGGCUUUGUAUCAGUAUUGCUUGUUUGUUGUCUUUUAUUUCAUUAUUUGUAUCUAAGUUUAUUUGAAGAUUACAGAUCAGCAGGAAAAGCCCUUUUUCUAAAGCUAACUAUACAGAUUUUAGAAUAGGGCUCAACCACAUGAAAAUAUUUACGUUGUAAUAUCUCAUAUUAAUAAUCUAAAAACAACCAAUCCAACAAGUUCAAAUUCAGUCAAAUCUAAAAAAAAAUUGCUUUUAAGGAGUACAUGAUAGCUAUUAAACUUUGGUUAAAGAUCUUUUGGGCAAACGUGAAAUUCAGUCAAUCAUAAAUCAACCAAUCCAACGAGUUCAAAUUCAUCACUUGCAAAAUUAAGUUUUCUUCCGAAAUUGAGUUUUUUCCAGUAGAAAUUUUCCCGCAGUCACGAGCACUAUCAUCAAAACAAGAUUAUUAACAUAAGAACAAGAGUUGAGGAAAAAAAUAUCUGUUUAUAUGGACACGGGGUGCACGCUUUAAGUCUUGUUCUUUUACAAUUCAAUUGUAUUGCUUACUCCCAUAAACUCCUUACUCACAUUCUUCUGCAGUUAACAGUGAUCUUUUGCUCAUUAAAAUUUUUCUUAUAUAUCGAAGGCCAAGAGUGAAGCUCAUAAACUCUGUGAUCCUAGAUAACCGAAGAGGUGCGUUUGUUCUAAAUACUUUAAUAAUUUCUUUCAAUCGCAUAAUUUCUAAUCUUUGAUCUUGAUAGCAGUUGUUUCUUAAUGUCCAACAAAAACUAUCUCUUGUUUGUCUUAAUCUUGUCAUUUAAUUUUCUUGAGUUUUAAGUUACUGUUUAUUGUUAACUUCUGUGUUCUUAUGCAGUAUUAUUAAUGGUUAAUUUGCAUCCAUCUUCCAAAAAAGUUUUCUUUCUUCAUAAAAUUGUUGGUUUUCCAUUCAGGCCCCUGAAACCUUUUUCUAAAAAGUUUUUUGUUGUCGUUUCUUUCUUUUUCUUCCCCGCUAGUUCAUUUAAUUUAUUUGAAUCCAUUUUUUUUUCAACAGCCAAAAACUAGAUAUUUAUAGUUAAGCAACAGGCAAUGGCUAUAGAAGCGUGUCUGGCUUUUUUAACCAACUGUGUAUCAGAAGGUGCAAAGUCACUGUUCAACCCUAUUACACGGCAGAUAUCUUAUGUGUUCAAGUACCAGAGCUACAUAGAUGAGCUAAAAGAUCAAGUGAAGCAGCUGGGAUAUAAGAGAGAAAUGGUGCAGCAACCAGUUAAUCAUGCUAGGCUACAAGGGGAUGAGCUUUUUGAGGGUGUCACAGACUGGCUACAUAGCGUUGAUGAAUUCAUCAGUGAAGGGGUUGCAAAAUCCAUUAUUGAUGAUGAAGAUAGAGCUAAGAAGUCCUGCUUCAAAGGAUUAUGCCCAAACUUGAUUUCUCGUUACAAGCUUAGUAAACAAGCAGCAAAGGCGGCAGAAGCUGCCGCUAGUCUCGUGGGAAAAGGCAACUUCUCCAAUGUUUCCUACCGUCCUGCUCCAAAGCGGGCAGAACAUAUGCAAGUGAAAGAUUUCGAGGCGUUUGAUUCAAGAAUGAAAGUAUUUCAAGAUGUUGUGGAGGCGGUGAAGGAUGACAAGGUCAACAUAAUUGGGGUCUAUGGGAUGGGCGGCGUGGGCAAAACCACGCUGGUCAAACAAGUUGCAAACCAAGUGAUGGAAGAUAAGUUGUUCGAUAAGUUCGUUAUGGCCGAGAUAACACAGACCCCAGAUCAUCAUAAAAUUCAAGACAAACUUGCUUUUGAUUUAGGCAUGGAAUUUGACUUGAAUGAGAAUGAAUUUCAAAGAGCUUCUCGACUGUGUCAAAGGUUGAAGCAAGAGAAGCGGCUCCUCAUUAUACUGGAUAAUAUUUGGACAAAACUUGAGUUGGAUGCGGUUGGAAUUCCUUCUGGAGAUGUGGAUGAGAAAGAUAGAGAGGACGAUCGGAGAAGACUCACAAUAAUAUUGACGUCUAGAAGUCGAGAUUUAUUGCGCAAUGAUAUGAAAUCUCAGAAGGAUUUCUCAAUUGAAGUUUUAUCAAAGGAAGAAGCAUUGCAAUUGUUUGGAAAGAUAGUGUGUAAUUCUGCAAAAGCAUCUGCUUUUCAACCUUUAGCAGAUGAGAUCGUUGAAAAAUGCGGAGGAUUGCCUGUUGCACUGAUUACCCUUGCAAAAGCUUUGAAAAAUGAGAGGCUUGACACUUGGAAGGAUGUGCUGCGUCAGCUAAGAAGUUCCAAUGCAAAAGAAAUUGAUGGAAUGGAAAGAAAUGUGUACAUCUCCAUAAAAUUGAGUUACGACUUACUGGGAAAUAAGGAAGCAAAAUCUCUGUUCCUUCUUUGUGGUCUAUAUACUGAAGGUGAUGUCAUACACGUUUCUGACUUAUUGAGAUAUGGUAUGGGUAUGGGCUAUUUUAAAAACGUUUACACACUGGAAGAAGCAAGGAGUAGAGUGCAUACGUUGAUCGGUAAACUCAAAUCUUCAUGCUUAUUGUUGGACGGUGAUGCCGAAGAUGAAGUUAAAAUGCAUGACAUCAUUCAUGCUGUUGCUGUAUCAAUUGCAGAAGAGGAGCUCAUGUUUAAUAUUCCAAAUGUUGCCUACGUGGAGAAAAAGAUGGAAGAGACAAUACGGGAAGGUCCAAUAGCUAUUUCUUUACCUUAUAGAGAUAUUCAAGAGCUUCCCGAAAGGUUGGAAUGUCCCCGUCUCGAGUUACUUUUGUUGUUUUCAAAGCGUGAUAGCUCUUUGCAAAUUUCAGACCUCUUUUUUCAAGGGACAGAAGAACUCAAAGUUUUAGAUUUUACUGGAAUAUUUUUCUCUUCAUUACCUUCAUCACUUGGUUGCCUCAUUAACGUUCAAACAUUAUGUUUAGAUGGUUGCCGACUGAACGAUGUAACUAUAAUUGGACAGCUAAGGAAAUUAGAGAUUCUCAGCUUCCGAGAUUCUGAUGUUAACGAGUUGCCACUUGUAAUUGGACAAUUGACGAGAUUACAGUUGCUAGAUUUGAGCAAUUGUAGCAGCCUUGUGGUGAUAGCUCCAAAUGUCAUAUCAAAAUUAUCUCGAUUAGAAGAACUAUAUAUUGGUAACAGCUUUUCACAGUGGGAGAACGUUGAAGGAGGAAGUAACGCCAGUCUUGUUGAGUUGAAGGGGUUGUCAAAGCUAACUACUUUGGAGAUACACGUUCGGGAUGCCGAAAUUCUACCGCAGGAUUUGGUCUCUGUGGAAUUGCAAAGCUAUAGGAUAUGUAUAGGAAAUAAGUGGUGGAGCAGCUGGUCCGUUAAAUCUGGAUUAUCAAGAUUGAUGAAGCUCCAGGGGCUAGAAAAGUUUGGCAUUCUUUUGCAGAAUUACAGGAUGAAACUGUUGUUGAAGAGAACUGAAUAUCUCUAUCUAGGAGAACUGAAGGGUGUUCAGAAUGUUGUUCAUGAAUUAGAUGAUGGGGAAGGUUUUCCACGAUUGAACCAUCUUUCUGUAAAAAGUUGUUCUGAGAUUUUGCAUAUUGUCUGUUCAGUUGGACGGGUUCGUCGCAAAGUCUUCCCCUUGCUGGAGUCAUUGUCUCUUCGUCGUUUGAUCAAUUUGGAGACAAUAUGUGACAGCCAACUCACAGAAGAUCAAUCUUUCAGCAACUUAAGGAUUAUAAAAGUAUCAGACUGUCACGAAUUGAAGCAUCUUUUCUCAUUCUACAUGGCCAAAAACCUACUGUGGCUUCAAAAGGUAGAAGUGUUUUUUUGCGAUGAUCUGGAAAUGAUUGUUGGUAAGUGUUGAAAUUAAGUGUUGGUGGAUUUAUGGACUUCGCCUCAAUUAUUUUGAAAAAAAAAAAAGACAACGACAAAGAUUAAUUAUGUAUAUUGUUUUAGUUUGUUUAUAGGACCCGACAUGGACAAACCAACAACUUCUUUGGGAUUCAACGAAAUCAUUGCUGAUGAUGAUCCUGCUCCAAAGGUGAUAAUUUUCUGUUCAAUAAUUAAUUGAUUAAUUUAUUAUCACGAUUAAUCUUCGAUCAUCAAAAGAAUAUUAUACUAGACGGUUGUACUUGAAGGAACAAAAAUGUACGGGUUUUCUUUGCAGGUUAUUCUUCCGAGCUUAGAGGAAUUGAAUCUCAUGUCAUUAAGAAACAUCAAAAAAUUAUGGGCCGAUCAUAAUCAAGGAAUGUACUGUUGUCAAAAUCUAACAAAGCUGCACGUGGUCGGUUGUCAUCGUAUGAAGUAUCUGUUUUCAUAUUCUAUGGUUAAUAGUCUUGCGAAACUCCAACAUCUUGAGAUAAGCUAUUGUGAGUCAAUGGAAGGGGUAGUCGACACCACGGGAUGGUCAGAAAGAGAUGAAGGAAAGUUGAUUGAAUUAAAGGUUUUUCCUAAGCUACACUCCCUGCAGCUAGAAUGGCUUCCAAGACUAAGUAGCUUUGCCAAUAUGGGACAUAUUCAUUCAGAUUUAGUUGUUGAAUUCCCUUCUUUGCUAAACCUCAUGAUUGGUUGUUGCAGUAAUAUGUUAAGAUUCAUCUCUACGAGCUCACCAGAAGACACCAUUCAUUCUGAAAUGCAACCUCCUCCUCUCUUUGAUGAAAAGGUUUUUUUUUUUUUUUUUAAUUAAAAAAAAUAAUUUUAGUCACAAUACUUGAUUUGUCUUUUCCUUGAGUCUUCAAAUUUAGUUAAUAUCCGCCUCUAAUUUAGUUAUCAAUUGAUUAUGCCAUUAAUUGAUUAACUAGUUAUUUAAUCUUUAACUGCCAGGUACGAGUUCCUAGGUUGGAGGUAUUAUAUAUUGCGUGGAUGGAUAACCUAAGAACAAUAUGGCACCACCAGCUUGCUUCGGAGUCUUUCAGGAAAUUGAAGAAUUUGGAGAUAGAAGAGUGUGAUAACCUAAUGAAUAUUUUUCCUCCAUUGGUAAGGUUGCUGUAUUCAUUUCGAUUUUUUUUUUCAAAUAACAUUCAACAAUUUUUUAAUCUUUUCUGUGUUUACAAAUGAUAUUCAGCCACUAAUUAUUUAUUUCAAAUAUUGUACUUCAAACCACCACUCUAAAAUCUACGUUUUAAGUCUAGUUUUUAGGUUCACCAGCAUUAGAAUCAACAAUAUAAUUUUUUUAAACACGAUUCAAUAGCAUAAUAUAAUUCAAUUUAAUUGUUUUUGCUCAUAUCUUAAUAAGUACGAUUUUCAAAAAUUAAAGGAUAGUCACUCAUCUUAUAAGUUCACAAAUUCAUCUAUAUAUUUCUCUUUUCCUUAGUUCUUCACAUUUCGAUUGGGAAAAAAAAAAAGAAAGUCUUCAAAUUUAAUUAAUAUCUCCAGUUUAGUUAAGAAUUGAUUAUGCCAUUACUUAACCACAAAUUCAUGAUUGUUUACAACUGACCCUUGAUUGUAAAGAAAUUUCCUCGAGUCUGGAAGUACUUAAUAAAGAUCCACUUUAUAGCAAUCCCUUGUUGACAGUACUGGGAAGUCUUUUCCAAAUUUUUUUUUUCCAUUUUUAUACAUACAUAAAAAAAAGGGGACCAAGGAAAAGGGAAAAAGAGGCAUUUUAGUUGAGUUUUUUUUAAAGGAAUAGUUGAAAUGUGCAAAUUUAUGCUUAAAAACUUAUAUCAAGAUGCAAAAUAAGUCUAAAGUAUUUAGAAAUUGCCUUAAAUUCUUUCUACGUCCCUAAUACUAAAUAGUGUAAAUACAUUUUUAUCAUCUUUGUUUAUCUGGCUUUUAUUUAUUUAUCUUGUUACCUUUUUUGUUUAACAAAAAAUUAUCUAGUAGACAUUUCACAGUUUGUUAUGUUCAUAAAACGUAUAAUUGUAUGAUUAAACAUACUUUGAGCCUAGUUGAAUGAUACUCUUACAUUUUUACUUUUUUAAUAUACACACACACACACACUCUCUCUGCUUAUUUUCAGGUUGGAAUUCCUACUAGUCUGGUGAAUCUUUAUGUAUGGAACUGCAAAAAAUUAGAAGAAAUCGUAGGACAUGCUGGAGAAGAAGUGAAGGAGAAUCGUAUUGCUUUCAGUGAAUUAAAACUUUUGGAACUUGAUGAUUUACCAAGGCUUACCAGCUUUUGUUUGGAGAAUUACACUCUUGAAUUCCCAUCAUUGGAACGAGUAUUUGUGACACAUUGUCCGAACAUGAAGACUUUUUCUCUGGGAAUCUUAUCCACACCAAAGCUGCACAAAGUGCAAGUGACUGUAAAGGAAGAUGGUGAAUUGCACCAUCGGGACGACAAUCUUAAUUCCACCAUACAAGAACACUAUACAAGAUCUCAUGGAAAUAAGUAAACCCGUAAUUUUUUUCACAGCAUCAUAAGAAAAAAUCAUUUUUUUUUUAGUAUUUUUGUUGGCUGUUGAGUUUUAACAGUAGUAGCUAUUAAACAAGAACAAUCAGUGUAUAUUAAAAAGUUGGAAACUGGUUGAUACCACUUGGGAAUCGAGCAGCUCACUUGUUUGCGAGUAGAAACCAACUUUACUACUAAUUACACUCAUUCCAAAAAUAGUAACUAAAGAAUCAGGAAAUUUCCUAUUCACUAUUCUUCAUUUUUUAAUGCAAAAUUCCCAUGAAAAUGGGAUCAAAAUACAUGUAUGUAUACCUAAAACAAAUUAUUAUUUUUAAUUAAAAAAAAACACAGUUGAGGUGAAAUGAAACCAGAGUCAUGAUAUCUCUGGUUCCAACUUUGGGACAACAGCAGACUUGAGUUCUAUAUGAGAAACACGUACAGCACCAAUCAGCCGCUCCAAGACACACGAAGCGUUAUGCCAUUCCGAGAACAUUCAAGCGUUAUAUCUCAAAAUCAUGUCUUUUCCCUUGUGUCUGUUAAGGAAGCACACUGAGCACGUGUGAACUAAGAGUAGCUGCACGAUAAGCAUGUGUUAGUUAAAGAAGUAUAUGCCAGCUCAGCCAAUUAGUUAAGCAGGCUUUUGAUUCUGUUAUAGUUGUGUACCUUGCUUUAAUUCUGUUUUUAUGAUGUAAGCAACGAGUAUAAACACUGCUACGUUUGUCAUUUGUAUGUUAUGGAAAGAAAAGAAAUCCAGAAUAUUCUAUUUCACUUUCUCAUGAAUUUUCUGAGCUUCCAAACAAAAUUAUCAGUUCAAUUUUAAGCUUUUCAACAGUGUCCAUUUAGACGUGCAAAAAAAACAAUCAUACAUACCUGUACAAGGAAAGCCAUGUCAACCACCGACCGAUGUUGUAAUUACACCAAUUACGACAAGGCCCAAAACUCCACUAGCAAAAGUAGAAUAACAUCUAUGCCAACAUCAAUCUAUAGAGAGAUGAACAUGUUAAUGGUAUCGGACGAGCUAUUUGAACGGGAAACAUCUCAUGUACUAUAAUAGAAAUUUUAAGAGCAUUUACUUCUAAGUACUGGGGACCGCGGAUAUAGUUACAACCAACUGCAUUUAGAAACAAAAAUUUGCGCUUGCGACAAGAGCUGAUCUCUUCAUUCCCCUGUUUAGUAAUAAAAAAAAAUCAAAAUAGCGGAGAAACAGGGCCCUCUUUUCAUUCCCCUGUUUGAUAACAAUAAAAACAAAACAGAGGAGAAACGUGGGCUCUCUUUUCAUUCCCCUGUUUUUCUUUUCGGUUUGGCGAUUUUAAAAUUUUAUAUCCACAUUCAUUAAAAAAAAAAAAAAAAGUUAUUCCAAAAAGAUUUUCUAUUUUCAUAUAGACGUUUAUUUAUUAACCAAAAUUUAAAAAGUGUAAUUCUAAACUUAUCCUUGUGCUUUGAUCUUGGAGGGGUUUUUCAUUUUUUCUACACUGGCCAUAUCAAUUAAUGAUGAAAGUUCUUAUCCUUAAUUGCUUUUGAAAUGAGUGAGCACGGUAUGACCCUUAAGAGAAUUAAUUAAUUGGACAAGUUAUAUAACGCCUUUGAUAUGGCUCCUAGACAUGUAUGCAAUUUGUAUCUUUCCUCAAGUAUGCAUGAGAAUACUUGAGGAAAGCUUCACAAUAGUUACGGCCGGAUCUGCACUUCACAAGUCCUAAUAGGGAAGUAUAAAUAUAUGCUUCUGGAACAGUGCAACUCUCCAUAAUAAGUACCUAAGAAUAGACAAAUUUUCAUUACAAUAGAAUGAUAAAUUAUAAUAAUAUUGACACAAUGAUGCCAAUAAUAAGAAUCUUAACAAAUCUACUAAUUUUAGAAUAUGGCUUAGAGUGCUACAAUGAACCACAACAAGUUAUCGAUAUUAUAAUAUCUAUAAUUAAUAUUCCAAUAAUAACUGGGGCUCCUUUGUUUUCAUUCCCCUACUUUUCUGUUAAGUGAUUGCCAAAUUUUUAUAUCUAAAAUUCUUCUAAUUUUAAACUAAGGUUUAUUUAGAAAAAAAAAGGGAGAGAGAGAGAGAGACUCGAAGAGCAUUAAAAAAUGUAAUUUUUAAUUUUCACUUAAGCAUUGUGUGACUUUUAUCAUUUUUUAAAGUUGGCCAUUUGUACUGAAUAAAUAAAAUAAUGGAUAGACUUAUGGACCACUUUUUUUCUGUUAUAUUAAAACAUGAGAUGUCUUUUCUUGAUGUUUUCAUCACACAAGAAUCUGUUUAUGUCAUCAUGCAUCAUGGGUUUAAAUGGGGUAAAUAAAUUAAGAUCGAGGGCAAGUUUGUUUAAGUUCUAAAGUUGCUGAAUAUAAAAAGGGCUGAUAUGAAAAUUACCUAAAGUUUCAAAUAUUGUUAUUCAGCAACCACUUUUAGGUUGCAUUAGUUUCUACACAAAUUUUAUAUAAAUAAUUUAUAACUCCCAUUAUUAUUUAAAAAACUGUAGCAAUUGUUGAAAAAAAAUUCUAAUUAAAGAAAUUGACAUUAUAAUUUAAGGGAUAGUUGCUGUUUUAAUCAUUAGAACUUAAGUCAAUUAUCCAGCUUAUCCUUGUAUUCUUAAAAACUAUAUAAAAUACCAUUAUCUCUUCUUUUGUAGCUAUUGAAUUCGACUUUCACAACAUAAAUAUUUAUUAGCAACAACUUAAAAUUCAAACAAAUAUAAUAUGUAAUGUAUGAAAUACAAAUAAUAGUUAAACAAAUUUUGAUUAUUUACUAUUAAAAUACAUUCACAUUAAUAUCUUAAGGAUAGGUGGUACUCAAAUAAUUUUUUAAAAAUCAGACCCAAAUUAUAUGCAUUGUUAAUAUGUAUUAUUGUCUAAUAUUUGGAUUUUGUUAAGUUACAACUGUUGUAACUUACGAUCUCUUCAAAAAAGAAAAUUGAGUCCCACCACCUAUUAAAUUUUUUACAUUAUUUUUUAAAAGACUGUAAGUUACAUCAGUUGUAACUUAACAGCACCCUUAAUAUUUUACUUUACUUUUAUAUCUUUACAAAACAAUACCAACAAGACAAUAAUGUAUGAAAUAAAUAAAAUAAAUAAAUAAAGAACUGAUAGCGAAAUUAAGUCUAUCAUUAGUUUCUUGUGGUGUGAACUCUUGACAAUUCUCCCACCUAAAACUCUCUAGUGGUGUGAACUUUUGACGAUUCUCCAAAAAUUUGUCAUAUUGCAAAAAGCAAUGUCAAUUGUAAUGUCAUUUCCAUUAGUCAUAGUGGCAGAUAGGACUAGAAAUUGUUGAAACCCAUUGACUUAUUUUUCUUUCUAAAAAUAAGAAAAGCACACCCGUCCGGGGAAAUAAUUUUGUAGUACCUCAUGUCGUGAAUAAGGGACAAUACGAUCCUUUUUUUAUUAUAGUAUUUUUAAAUUUAUUAACUAAAAAAUUAAUUCUAAUAUUUUAUAAUAAAUAUAAGUAGGAUAUUAAAAUGAAUAUAAUAAUGUAUACAUAUUAAAAUAAUUUCAAUAUCUAAAAAUAUUUUAAUAUUUUAAAAUCUCGUAGUCUAUUAAACCAAAUAAUAAUAAAUAGAGACAUAAUAUUCAAAUAAAUACAUAAAAAUUUAAAUUGUUUUCAAUAUCACAUAAAAUAAUUUUAAUAUUAUUAAUACAUGAGAAAUAUUAUAUUAAUUGUAAAAUCUAUUUAACCUAAGGAUUCAUUUAAAAUUUUUUGUAAUAAUUACAAGUAUUUUAUAGAUACAAAUAUAUUAAUUCACAUUUUAAAAAUUAAUAUUGAAAUUAAUUAUUUAAAUUUUAUAAAAAAUUUUGAAGUCUUUUUUUUUUUUUUGGCUACCAUCUACUAAGAGUAGUAUUAUGAUCAAAAGGGGUAUUGGUAUCCUAUAUUAAAAAUUUGAGGUCUACGUGACUAUUUUUCUAAAUUUUUAGGGUAUCAUUUUGUUUUUGACAAAAGUAAAAUUUCAUUUUUGACAAAAAUAAAAUUUCAUUUAAAUGGCUAAAAUGGUGAAUAAAAUAAUACUACAGUGGGCGUAAAUGGAAGGUAAGAAACAAUGAAAAUGAAUAGUCUAAUGUCACCACAGGCACAUAAGGCCAAAGUUUGUUACAUCUGAUCAAGGACAAUUUAGUAUGUGGAGUGGGUCCUGCGUGUCAUUUUUUGGGCAUCUACCUUCUUCAGCAUUGAAGAUUUGAUGUUGACGACAUUUUAAAAAUUUGGAAGACCCAUCAUACAUUUGGAUGGUUGUCAUUAUUUGAUAUUAUCAUUAUCUCGUGGUGAUCCUAUUAUUUAUGUGGCAAAAGAGGUAAUUAAAUAAAAUUUAAUUGGAUGUAACACUUGUUUCGCGUUGUGAACUUUUGACAAUUCCCCUAUAUCCCUCCAAAAACUUUCGUCAUUUUGCCAAGAUACCUAACGAUUGUAAUGUAAUUUUCAUUAUUCAUAGUGCCAGAUAAUGGAGGUCCAGGAACGGACCAGAAAUUAUUGCUACCCGUGGACUUUUCCAAUUUAUUUUUUUUCUUUUGGAUGGUUGACGUUAUUUGAUAGGAGGACGAGAUAGAGAUAGAGUUCUUAAUCGAACACCCGUUUUAUUUAAUGGGGAAAUUAUCAUUUCACCACUACUCUUUUGCCUUAUGCUCAUUCAAUUACUACAAAAUUUUAACAUGUUCUCUGCACUACUUUUCUUUUUUAAAUUUGUAUCAAUUACUCACUUUUAUACUAACACCAUUAAAUAAUUUAAACAAAAUAAUAAAUUUACCCCUAAAUAAAUUAAAAGACCAUUUUAUUUUAUAAAAACUUAAAAAAUAAAAAAUAAAAAUUAUAAUUAUAAUUAUAAAAAUACCCCUAAAUUUAAUAAAGAAAUAAAUCCCCAAAUUAGAAUUUUUAUUUUAAUAAAAAUUAUAAUUAUAAAAUAAUUGCAAAAUUUUGGGAUUUAAUAAACAUCCCCUAAAAUAUUAAAUUUUGGGAUUUAUUUUUAAUAAAUAAAUUUAGUUAUUUUAAUAAAAUUUUACAAAAUUAUAAAUUUGUAAUAAAAAUAAGCUGAGCGCCUCUAUUUUGGAUUAUUUUUUAUUAAAUUUAGGGGUAUUUUUGUAAUUCUAAUAUUUUUUUUCAAAGCUUUUAUAAGAUAAAAUGGCAUUUUAAUUUAUUUAGGAGUAAAAUUAUCAUUUCGUUUAAAUUAUUUAACAGUAUUAGUGUAAAAGUGGCUAAUCGAUUCAAAUUUAAAAAGAAAGAUAGUGCAGAAAACAUGUUGAAAUUUUGUGGUGGUUAAAUGAACAUAAGUCAAAAGAAAGAUGGUAGAAUGAUAAUUUCCCUAUUUAAUAUGGAAGAAGAUCUUUAAACUCUCAGUGAGGCUAUGGCUUCAACAGAUGCAGCCUUGUGGAAAGAGGCAACAAGUAAUGAGAUAGACUCAUUAUUAUCUAAUCAACUAGAUGCAUCAACAAGAUCUUAACUUAGAUUGGAACUUGAAGCAUUGUUGUUUGAAACAUUGGCUCAAGCCUUUAGAGCGAGGUUGGAUGCAAAAUGAUUUACAACAAAGAAAGGAAAAAAUAAAUUUACUAAUUUACAAAAUAAAUUUAGUAAAUUAAUAAAGUCAUUAUAUGAUCUUAAAUAAGCACUAAAGCAACAGCAUGAAAAUUUUGAUUCUAUGAUCAUGUUGCAUGGAUUUUAACAUAAUAACGAUGAUAAAUGCAUUUAUUCUAAAUUAAUGGAUAAAUAUGGUAUGAUAAUUUUCCUCAUUUGAGAAAGAAUUCUUAAAUAAUGUCCCAUAUUAAUUAGUAAAAGAGAGUCACUUGGGCUUAUAAGUAGUAGAGAUGGGCAAAAUUGGAUGCAGAUGAUAUUCGGGUUAAUAUGAUCAGAUUUUGGAUUGUUCGGAUUGAUAAAAAGUCAUAUGAAUGCAAUAUGAACUUGCAUCCAAUCCGAUUAUGUACGGAUCAUAUUCAAAUUGGAUGAAUAGUGCAGAUUAAUUUGGAUUCGGAUCAGAUCGAUAAUAUCAAACUGAAAUCGGAAUCAGAUGUGUUCGAAUAAAUCAGAUGAAUUUCAAUCACUUGCAAGUUGAAAUACAAAAUUGAAAAAUCAUAGAAAUUAAGAAAAAAAUGCAGCAAGCUAGCAAAUGGAAGAACAAAGGCAAAAAAUUAUAUUAUAAAUUAAUCGUAAAAAGGUGCUAUUAGCAAUUGUUGCACAAUGCGAAAAUGUCCUGGAACUCGCUGUGUAGACAUGCAAAAGUUCCGUAAGUGCAUUAACAAUUAUUUUCCAAAAAAAGGUUGUUGCGUCAAUAUUAAAGGAAUUGACAUCCAGGGACCCAGUUUAGUUGCUUAAUGAUUAAUUAAUUAAUCAAUUUAUAAUAUAUUAAUCUUUUAAGUUGAAUACUUAAAAUCUUAGACCCCAAACAAUAAAUCAUCUGAGUAAUAUAAAAGAGAAAUUAUCAUCCUAUUUUUUAUUUGACUUCUUGUAGCUUAUAAAAGAGAAAUUAUCAGUCAUUUACUCAAAGUUUAUUCAGUUAUUAAAAUUAAUAUAAAAUUUAAAUUUAUUUAAUUUUACACUCAAUGUAUGCAAUUUGUAUUAAACAUCCGUUAAAAACAUAAAGUUAUUCCAUCAAAGUGACAAAAUAGAAGCGAACACAAAAUUGUAUUGGUGAUUAUGUUUUAAGAGUAAUUUUAUCUUUUUAGUAAACAGUUAUCCACAUUGUAACAAUGGGUAUAAAAUUAAGUAUAUUUAAAUUUUUAUAACUUUUAGGAUAAUAAGAUAAUUUUUAGGUGGAUGACUGAAAAUUUUUCUUUUCAAAAUAUUUUGAAAACAAUACCAAAUGUACCAAAACAUUGUUUACUUACACUCUAUAUAUAUAUAUAUAUAUAUAUAUAUAUAUAUAUAUAUUUAAUUUCUUAACUCAUUCUUAUCCUUAUUCUUGCUAACAUAUCCACAAUCUGUCAAUGAAAUUUACUUUUAUAAAUUUGAAGAUUCUUUCAUGCAAUUUUGUACGAUAAUGAGUUCUCAUGUCUCUGUUAAAAAAGAAUUCGUAAAUAAUACAAAUGAAAAAAAAACAAAAAGUAGCAGGGCUGGCAAUACAAACCAUAACUUUUUUUCUUUGAAAUAUGCAUAAAUAAAGUUAAUAGUGAUGUGUCAGCACGAUCUUGAGAGCACGGCUUGGAGUCUCAAUAAUUAUUGACACUCAUAUUUGAAAACUUUUGAAAAGAUAAAAUCCAAUAUGAAAGGUGAAAUGUUAUAAUCAUAGUAACUAGAAAAUUGAUUGAUUUACAAAUAUCAAUUUAAACAAUUUUCAUGUUGAUCGACAAUUUAAGUAGAUUGACAAAGAUUGAAGUAAUUACUGUUGGUGAUUGAUUGACUUUGUCCUUAUCCUUGCCUUCUUCUUAUCAAAAAUCGAGUGUCAAUUAAAUUGGGCCAGGGCUUCUGAUUGCAACUAAUAGACUUCAUAUACGCAUAAUGCUCCCUACGGACAUACGUACCAGUAUUUGAUUGAAAAAGGGAUGCGUGCUUAAUGCUCAAGUCGUCUUCUUCUGGAAAUUCAUUGUUAUUACUCUCAUCAACUCGUUACUCACAUUCCUCUUUAGUCAACAGAGAUCUUUUGCUCAAUAAAAUUUUUCUUCUAUAUUCAAGGUGAAUACAGCAGCUCAUCAACUCUGAUCCCAGACAGGUAAAGAGGCGCACUUGUUCUAAAACCUUUAAUAUUCUUUUAGUAACAGAAUCUCUGAUACUUGUUCUUCAUAGCGGUUCUUUCUUAAUUUCCAUCACCUUUCCUAGGAAAAAAUUCUUUGGUUUUUCUUAAUCAUAUCAUUUAUUUUUCUGAAGUCAUAUAAUUUAGUUUUAGUAGCAGAAUACUUGAUAUUGAUAGCGGUUCUUUCUUAAUUUCCAUCAACUUUCCUUGAAGGAUACCUUUCUGUUAAUAGCAAAACAUCUGAUCCUUAAGAUAGAAAAAGAAAUUCUCUAUUUAGGUAUCAGUUGGUUCAAGAUCAAUAUCGCGAUGUUGUUUGCGGUCUUUUCUUUCUCCGUCUUUCCCUUUAGUUCAGUUUAAUUUAUUUGUUUUCCUUUCUUUGAUAUAUUAUUAGAUUUGUUAAGUAGCAGACAAUGGCAGAAGUUGGUCUGGCUGCUUUUUCCAGCAUUGUAUCAGAAGGUGCAAAGUCACUGUUCAAACCGAUUAUACGGCAGAUAUCUUAUGUGUUCAAGUACCAGAGCUACAUAGAUGAGCUAAAAGAUAAAGUGAAGCGGCUGGAACAUAAAAGAGAAAGGGUGGAAAUACCCGUUCAUCAGGCAACUCAACAAGGAGAUGAGAUUUAUAAGGAUGUUGCAGACUGGCUUAAUAGCGUCAAGGAAUUCACUCAGGGAGCUGCAAAAUCCAUCACUGAUGAUGAAGAUAGAGCUAAGAAGUUCUGUUUCAAAGGAUUGUGCCCAAACUUGAUCUCUCGUUACAAGCUCAGUAAACAAGCAGCAAAGGCUGCAGAAGCUGCCGCUAGUCUCGUGGGAAAAGGCAACUUCUCCAAUGUUUCCCACCGUCCUACUCCAAAGCUGGUAGAACAUAUGCAAGUGAAAGAUUUCGAGGCCUUUGACUCAAGAAUGAAAGUAUUUCAAGAUGUUUUGGAGGCGUUGAAGGAUGAUAAGCUCAAGAUAAUUGGGGUCUACGGGAUGGGCGGCGUGGGUAAAACCACGCUUGUCAAGCAAGUUGCGAAGCAAGUGAUGGAAGAUAAGUUGUUCGAUAAGGUCGCUAUGGCUGAGGUAACAGAGAACCCAGAUCAUCAGAAAAUUCAAGACAAACUAGCUUCUGAUUUAGGCAUAAAGUUUGAGUUGAAUGAGAGUAUAUUCGACAGAGCAAAUCGACUAUGUGGAGUAUUGAAGAACAAGGAGCGGCAUCUCAUUAUAUUGGAUAAUAUUUGGAGAGAACUGGAGUUCGAUAAAGUUGGAAUUCCUUCCAGGGAUGUCGAGAAAGAAAGAAUGGAUGAUCAGAGACGAUGCACAAUAAUACUGACGUCUAGACGUCAAGAUUUAUUGCGCAAUAUUAUGAAUUCUCAGAAAGAAAUCCAGAUCGAUGCUUUAUCAAAAGAAGAAGCAUUGCAUUUAUUUAAGAAGAUAGUGGGUGAUUCAAUGAAAACAUUUGCUUUUCAAUCUAUAGCAGAUGAGAUCGUUGAAAGAUGCGGAGGACUGCCUGUUGCACUGAUUACACUUGCAAAAGCUUUGAAAAAUGAGAGGCUUGACACUUGGAAAGAUGUGUUGAAUCAGCUAAGAAGUUCCAAUGCAAAAGAAAUUGAUGGAAUGGAAAUAAAUGUGUACAUCUCCAUAAAAUUGAGUUACGACUUAUUGGGAAGUAAGGAAGCAAAAUCUCUGUUCCUUCUUUGUGGUCUAUUUAGUGAAGGUCAUGCUAUACCAGUUUCUUCCUUAUUGAGAUAUGGUAUGGGUAUGGGCUAUUUUAAAAACGUUUACACACCGGAAGAAGCAAGAAGUAGAGUGCAUACGUUGAUCGGCAAACUCAAAUCUUCAUGCUUAUUGUUGGACGGUGAUACUGAAGCUAAAGUUAAAAUGCAUGACGUCAUUCAUGCUGUUGCUGUAUCAAUUGCAGAAGAGGAGCUCAUGUUUAAUAUUCCAAAUGUUGCCGACUUGGAGAAAAAGAUGGAAGAGACAGUACAGGAAGGUCCAAUUGCUAUUUCUUUACCUUAUAGAGGUAUUCAAGUGCUUCCUGAAAGGUUGCAAUGUCCCUGUCUUGAGCUAUUGCAUACGGAGGGUGAUGGCUCUAUGCAAGUUUCAGACCACCUUUUUAAAGGGACGGAAGGACUCAAAGUUUUGAAUUUUAAUCGAAUUCACUUCUCUUCAUUACCUUCAUCACUUGGUUGCCUCAUUAACCUUCAAACAUUGUGCUUAGACUAUUGCCGACUAAAAGAUAUAGCAAUAGUUGGACAGCUAAAGAAAUUAGAGAUUCUCAGCCUUGUAUAUUCCGAUAUCAAGCAGUUACCACUUGAAAUUGGACGAUUGACGCGGUUACAGUUGCUAGAUUUGAGCAAUUGUUGGAGCCUUGAGUUGAUACCACCAAAUGUCAUAUCAAAAUUAUCUCGAUUAGAAGAAUUGUUUAUGCAUAACAGCUUUUCACAGUGGGAUAAGGUAGAAGGAGGAAGUAAUGCCAGUCUUGUCGAGUUGAAGGGGUUGUCAAAGCUAACUACUUUGGAGAUACAUGUUUCGGAUUCCGAAAUUCUGCCGCUGGAUUUUGUCUCUGUGGAAUUGGAAAGAUAUAAGAUAUUUAUAGGACAAAUGUCUGUCCGGUGGCUCGUCGAAUCUAAAACAUCAACAUUGAUGGUGCUCAAGGGGCCAGAACAAGUUAGCCUUCUUUUGGGGAAUGAUGGGACGAAAAUGUUGCUGAAGAGAACUGAAGAUCUCCGUCUAUGCUCACAGAAGGGUGUUCAGAAUAUUGUUCAUGAAUUAGACGAUGGGGAAGGUUUUCCACGAUUGAAGCAUCUUCAUGUAAAAAGUUGUUCUGAGAUUUUACAUAUUGUCGGUUCAGUUGGACGGGUUCGUUGCGAAGUCUUUCCCUUGCUGGAGUCAUUGGAUCUUAUUAAUUUAACUAAUUUGGAGACGAUAUGCUACAGCCAACUCAGAGAAGAUCAAUCUUUCAGCAACUUAAGGAAAAUAAACGUAGAUUUCUGUCCAAAAUUGAAGUAUCUCUUCUCAUUCUCUAUGGCCAAAAACCUAUUGCGGCUUCAAAAAGUAAAAGUGGAAAACUGCGAUGAUUUGAAAAUGAUUAUUGGUAAGUGUUGAAAUUAAUUAUUGGUAGGAUUAUUGACAUUGACUCAUUCUUUUUUUCUUUUCUUUUUUUUUUUUUGGUGAAAAAAACAACGGAUGUUUAUUAUAUAUUGUUUUUGUUCAUUUAUAGGGCCCGACAUGGAGAAACCAACAACAACUCAGGGAUUCACAGAAAUCAUUGCAGAGGAUGAUCCUGUUCACCAAGUAAUAAUUUUCUGUUUAAUAAUUAAUUAAUUAAUAUAUUAUCACGAUUGAUCUUCAAUCAUCGAAAGAAUAUUAUAUUAGAAGUUGUAGUUGAAGGAACAAAAAUGUAUGGUUUUUCUUUGCAGGUUACUUUUCCACGCUUGGAGGAACUGAAACUUGUCAGUUUAACAAACAUCAAAAAAUUAUGGCCCGAUCAAUUUCAUGGAAUGUAUUGUUGUCAAAAUUUAACAGAAGUGACCGUGUUCGGUUGUGAUCGUCUGAAGUAUCUGUUUUCAUAUUCUAUGGUUAAUAGUCUUGGGCAACUCCAACAUCUUGAGAUACGAAAUUGCUGGUCAAUUGAAGGGGUAGUCAACACCACGGGGUUAGGAGGAAGAGAUGAAUUGAAGGUUUUUCCCAAACUACACUACCUGUCGCUCCAUUGGCUUCCAAAACUAAGUAGCUUUGCCUCACCAGAAGACGUCAUUCACACUGAAAUGCAACCUCAAUCCCUCUUUGAUGAAAAGGUUUUUUUUCAUUGAAUUUUUAAAUUCUCUUUUCGUUGAGUCUUCAAAUUUAAUUAAUAUCCAUCUCUAACUGCAUUGAAUUUUCAACUUCAGGUACGACUCCCAAGUCUGGAGGUAUUACAUAUUAAGAGGCUGGAUAAGUUGAGAAAAAUAUGGCACCACCAGCUUGCUUCGAAGUCAUUUAACAAAUUGAAAAAAUUUGAGAUAUCAGGGUGUCAUAAUCUACUGAAUAUUUUUCCUCCAUUGGUAAGAUUGCUAUAUUCAUUUUGAAUUUUUAUUUCAAAUAACAUUCAACAAUUAUUUUAAUCAUUUUUGUGUUUACAAAUAAUUUUCAUUCACAAAUUAUUUAUUGCAAGUAUUGUACUUCAAACUUCUGGAGGGAAAAAAAGUAGUGUACUUCAAAUCACCAUUCUGAACUCUGCAUUUUCAAUCUAAUUUAUAGGUUCACCUGCAUUAAAGUCAACAAUAUAAUUGUUUUAAACACGAUUCAACAGCAUAAUAUGAUUCAAUUUAAUUGUUUUUUUUCUUAAAUCCUAAUAAAUAAGAUUUCCAGAAAUUAAAAGAUACUUAGUUACUCAGCUUUUAAGUUCACAAAUUCAUAUAUAUUUCUCUUUUCCUUGGGUCUUUAGAUUUCGAUUUUAAAAAUAAAAUAAAGAAAAGUGUUCAAAUGUAGUUAAUAUCUCUAGUUUAGUUAUGAAUUGAUUACGCCAUUGAUUAAGCACAAAUUCAUGAUGGUCAUUUUGAAUCGACCGUUGAUUAAAAAAUUUCCUCAAAUAUUCACUCUAUAACAGUCCCAUGUUGAUGGCGUUGGGAAGUGUUUUCCAGAAAUGUUUUCCAUUUUUAAAAGCAUGAAUAUCGGGAAAAAAAAAAAUGGGAAAUACAGCGUUUUAGUUUAGUUAUUUUAAAAAUAGGCAUGUUUGAAAAUUAAAAAUUUUUAAAAACUAGCAUCAAGAUGAAAAAUGAAUUUAGAAUAUUUAAAAAUUACCUGAAAUUCUUUCUCUGUUCCUAAUACUAAAUAGUGUAAAUGCAUUUUCAUUAUCUUUGUUUUUCUGGUCUUCUAUUUAUUUAUUUUUGUUUUAAUUUUUUCCUUUUUUUCUUUAACAAAAAAUAUCUAGUAGACAUUCAUGGUUUGUUAUUUUUCAUAAAACAAUUGUAUGAUUUUGACAUACUUUGAAUCUAGUUGAAUGCUACUCUUUAUUUUCAGGUUGGAAUUCCCAAUAGUCUAGUGAAUCUUAAUGUAUCAUACUGUGAAAAAAUAGAAGAAAUCAUAGGACAUGUUGGAGAAGAAGCGAAGGAGAAUCGUAUUGCUUUCAACGAAUUAAAACAUUUGGAACUUGAUCAUUUACUAAGGCUUACCAGCUUUUGUUUGGAGAAUUACACUCUUGAAUUCCCAUCAUUGGAACGAGUAUCUGUGACACAUUGUCCGAACAUGAAGACUUUUUCUCAGGGAAUCGUAUCCACACCAAAGUUGCACGAAGUGCAGGUGAGUAAAAAGGAAGUAUUAAGUUUUAUAUGAAACUGUGAUGUUGUUUGGUUACUAAGAAAAUAGGAAGAAAGAAAACUUCUGUAAGCUGAGAAUUCUGUUAUUAUUGACCUAAUGAAUCUGGAAAUUACAAGCCUUUUUAUAUGUGCAUAGAAGAUUCUACACACAUUGCACACACGCACAGUUUAAUACUAACAACCUCUAUAACAACCUUUAGCUGACUCAGCUGCCAUGUCAGCAUACUCAUUAACUAACUAAUUCUAUUCUUAACAGGAAGAGGGUGAAUUGCGCCGUUGGGAAGGCAACCUUAAUUCCACUAUACAAAAGUGUUACGAAGAAAUGGUAUGUGUUAAAUCGAUUCGUCGAAAUUACUUAUGCAUCUCCCUUGCACUUGCACAUUUAAGUAUAUACACCUGCCUUGUAUAUAUAGUUUUAGAAGUUAAAACACAAAACAUGUAAGUUUAAUGUAUAUAUAUCUAAUGCCUUUCAAAAAGAAAAAAAAUUGUAUAUAUCCAGUGCAAUUGUUUUGGUUUGUGCAGAUUGGAUUUCGUGACAUAAUGCGUUUGCAACUUUCGCAUUUUCCACGUUUGCAAGAAAUAUGGCAUGGCCAAGCACUGCCUGUCAGCUUCUUCAACAAUUUAAGAGAGCUGGUGGUGGAUGACUGCACGAAUAUGUCGAGUGCUAUUCCUGCCAAUCUGCUACGGUGCUUGAACAAUUUGGAAUACCUGGCAGUGAGGAAUUGUGAUUCACUAGAAGAGGUGCUUCAUUUGGAAGAACUAAUUAAUGCUGAGGAAGAACAUUUUGGCCAACUGUUCCCUAAUCUUUACGAGCUAAAGCUCAUUGAUCUUCCAAAACUCAAAAGAUUCUGCAACUUCACUGGGAAUAUAAUUGAACUGCCUAAGUUGGACAAUCUAACUAUUGAGAAUUGCCCUAGUAUGGAAACACUGCCUGUCAGCUUCUUCAACAAUUUAAGAGACCUGGUGGUGGAUGACUGCACGAAUAUGUCGAGUGCUAUUCCUGCCAAUCUGCUACGGUGCUUGAACAAUUUGGCAUGGCUGAAAGUGAGGAAUUGUGAUUCACUAGAAGAGGUGCUUCAUUUGGAAGAGCUAAGUGCUAAGGAAGAACAUAUAGGCCCCAUGUUUCCUGAGCUUUCCCUGCUAGGGCUCAUUGAUCUUCCAAAACUCAAAAGAUUCUGCAACUUCACUGGGAAUAUAAUUGAAAUGCCUAAGUUGGAAUAUCUCAUUAUUGAGAAUUGCCCUGAUAUGGAAACAUUCAUAUCCAACUCUGUAGUGCACGUGACAACAGAUAACAAGGAACCUCAAAAAUUAACAUCAGAAGAGAACUUCUUGCUGGCUCAUCAAGUACAACCUCUCUUUGAUGAAAAGGUGAUUAUUAUUAUUAUUAUUAUUUUUCCCUUCACUUUCGUUUCAUAGAUGUAAUUUCAUUAGAAUCAAAUCAAAUUUAAUGACUCAUCUUUUUGCACGUCGUCUUAAUUUUUAUAUGAUUUAACAAUAUAACUGCAGUUAUUAACUAUCUUUAUAGUAUGAAUUAUAAAAAUGUCUGAAAUUAAUUGGAUGCCUGAUAACACGAGGUGAUCUAUUAAUUAUGUGUAUUACAUCUCUGUUUUCCUAGCUAAUUCAUAUUGGAUUUAGCAUCAGAUUUCAUUUAUGUGUUUCAAAGGGUAAUCGAUUUGAUACUUAUAUUUGGGAUCCUACUGCAAAGCAUACUAAUUUGGAAAUAAAAUAUAAAAUGCCGUGAUUAAUCUUGUCCAUAAAAUAUGCAGGGGAAGACUGCAGAGAUUGGAUACAUAUUUUCAUUUACAACUUAAUUUUGUUGAUUUUUAGGUUGCAUUCCCUCAAUUGAGUUGGUUAACGCUAUCUGGAUUACACAAAGUGCAGCAUCUCUGGAAGGAAAAUGACGAAUCCAACAAAGCGUUUGCAAACUUGGCAAGUCUAGAAAUAUCGGAAUGUAUUCAGUUGCAAAAAUUAGUACCACCUUCGUGGCAUUUGGAAAAUAUGUGGGGACUGGAAGUAUCGAAGUGUCACGGGUUGAUAAAUGUGUUGACGCUCUCAGCAUCUAAAAAUCUAGUGAACCUUGAAAGAAUGAAGAUAGCUGAUUGCAAAAGGAUAGAAGAAAUCAUACAGUCGCCGGUUGCAGAAGAAGCGAAAGAUUGCACUGUUUUCAAGAAAUUGAAGUACUUGACACUUGAUUGUUUGCCAAGCCUAACAAGCUUUUGUUUAGGUAAUUACGCUCUUGAAUUCCCGUCCUUGAAACAAGUAGUUGUGAGACAGUGUCCAAAAAUGAAGAUCUUCUCUCAAGGAGUCUUAGACACACCAAUGCUAAACAAAGUGAACGUCACCGAAGAAGAAAAAGAUGAUGAUGAUGAAGGAUGUUGGGAAGGCAACCUCAAUGACACCAUAAAAAAAUUGUUCAAUGAAAUGGUGAGUAUCAAUUAAGUUUUGAUGCUAUUUAGCAAAUUAUUUUAUAGAAACUAAUGUGAUAUAAUAUGAUUGGUUGACUGAAAAUAUAUAAUAAUAAUAAUAAUAAUAAAUAAAUAAAUAAAUAAAUUAUGAGGACCAUGUAAUGUUUUUGUUUAAUCAAUCAUAUUAUGUCGCAUUAGUUUAUACAAUAUUAUUUGUGCACAAGAGGUGGUGGUCAUAUCAUUACUCUAGCUUUAUUAUUCUUAUGGUGGCAAUGUAUGCUUGCUUACACGAGUAAUUACAAAAUCUGCAGAAUUCUAAAGAAGAGAUUGAGCCAACCCUUCAGGUACAGUGAAGAAGCUAUCCCGAACCAGGCCAAUCUCUUAUACAUGAUUCAGCUUGCUCGUUCUUCUGUACUUGAAUAAUUUGGUUCUAUAUAUUUACAAUUUUUCGCUCAUGCUACAGACUUGCAAGACACUUUGGAUUUUGUUUGAUGCAUUCUCCGUUUAAGAAAGGACUUGAAUUGAUGUUUCAUGUUUCAUGCAAUAUUCAAUUAGAUUCUGCCUAAAUUUCUGUAUUAUUCGUUCAAUUGGUCUUUUAAGCAUUUGAUUUCUAACCUCUCCUAAUGGAAGAUCAUUAUCUGAAGAAAACAGCAUAACAUUUGUGGCAUUAUCAGAAUAAGAAUAUUUUUGAGUAUAGUAAAAUUAUCUCCACCACUGUUAAAAAGAAUUAAUCAGUCAAACUGACCUCACACCAGCACGCUUUAAAUUAAAAGAAUUUCGUGAAGUCGAGACCAUGUUAUAGAUCUCAUGGAAAGAAGUAAACCCGUAAUUUUUUUCACAGCAUCAUAAGAAAAAUCAUUUUUUUUAAGUAUUUUUGCUAGCUGUUGAGUUUUAAUAGUAGUAGCUAUUAAACAAUAACAAUUAGUGUAUAUUAAAAAGUUGGAAACUGGUUGAUACCACUCGGGAAUCGAGCAGUUCACUUGUUUGCGAGUAGAAACCUACUUUACUACUAAUUACACUCAUACCAAAAAUAGUAACUAAAGAAUCAGGAAAUUUCCUAUUCACUAUUCUUCAUUUUUUAAUGCAAAAUUCCCAUUCGAAAACACCAAUGACUUUCAUUCAAAGUAAAUGAGAAAUUACAAUGAAAAUAGAAUCAAAAUACAUGUAUGUAUACCUAAAACAAAUGAUUUUUUUAAUUAAAAAAAAAACACAGUUGAGGUGAAAUGAAACCAGAGUCAUGAUAUCUCUGGUUCCAGCUUUGGGACAACAGCAGACUUGAGUUCUCUAUGAGAAACACGUACAACACCAAUCAGCCGCUCCGGUAAUUCAUCUGUAGUAUUUGCCUGCAUACAGAAGAGCAAGAUAAAGAAGACACACACAGAAGCAUUAUAUCAUUCUGAGAACAUUCAAGUAUGCAAAAAUGCAAGUUGCAGUGCAAUAUCUCAAAAUCAUGUCUUUUCCCUUGUGUCCAUUUAGCAGUGGGGGAAAAAAACAAUCAUACAUACCUGUACAAGGAAAGCCAUGUCAACCACCAAUGUCGUAAUUACACCAAUUACAAGGCCCAAAACUCCAUUAGCAACAGUAGAAGAAUCGAUGUCAACAUCAAUCUACAGAAAGAUGAACAAUGUUAAACCAUGUUAAAGGUAUUGGACGCUAUUUGAAAGGGGAACAUCUCAUGUACUAUAGAAAUUCCAAGAGCAUUUACUUCUAAGUACUUGGGACCGCGAAUAUAGUUACAAUCAACUGCCUUCCCCAAUAAACAAGGGGUGCUUCCAACACUCUGGCGCACUAUCCAUGACCCCUGCAUGAUUCAGUGCUGAAAAUCAAGAACAAGUGCAAAACAAAUUCAAGAGGGUAAAAAGGAGAUAAAGUUUGAAGGUACAACCCAUCAAUACAUUCACACCUAAAUGCAUGCCUUCUUUGUACAAAUUGAAGUGUACCAUGCAGUAAAGGGUAAGUAUACGUUAAUAUAGUCCUACUACAUGAAGGCCAAGAUGGAUACCUUAGGAACAGAUGGAAUAAGUUUCAACCUACUAUUGCGAAAUUCAUCAUCGCCAUCAACAAACCGUUGCAAAAGUGAUCCCGUAACCAAUUGCCUUGUGACAAAAUAAAAUACCAUACUAUAAUGUGUUGAACCAGGAACCUGCAGAUGCUUAGGUUACAACUAUACAACCUCCCAAUACAAUAAGUUUGAAACUUAUACCUUCUGAAAUGAAACAAACUUUCUUGAAGAUUAAAGAUCAGUGAGAAAAGCCCUUUUUCAGAAGCAACCUACAUAUUUUAGAAUAGGGCUCAGUGCGUUAUAGAUUCAAUGAACCAUGAGAAGUUAUUUACAUUGUUGUAUCUCACAGGCAGUCUUUUCUCCUAAUGUAUCAAGGGAAAAUGCUAGUGAAUUGAAUGAAGCUAGAGCAGAGCAUGAUGUUGCUGUGUAGCUGACUUUAGCAGAUCAACUCACUAAGCUAACCUGGCAAAGUUAUUUAGCUGGUUGAGCUGAUGUGUCAAAUUAGUUAUGCAGCAAAUGGUUAUGUGAUGUAACAAACUCGUGUGUGUGUUGAGCAAAUUGUAGCUUAAUAUAAAUAUCAGUCUGUAUUCAUUCAGUUGUAAUGCUAAAGUAAUAAAGGUUCUACAAACUUCUUUACAGAGCUUUCUUUUAUUUUCUUCAUUUUCUAGCUUGCCAAACAAUGCAAAACUAAGUUUCUUUCAUGGUAUUAGAGCCAUAAAUGGCGAAUACAGUUCAAAAUAACAACUCUUUUAGUUUUGUUACGCCUGUAAAGCUAGACCAAAACAACUUCAUUUUAUGGCGGGCACAAAUUUUAGCAUCGAUCAAAGGAAACGGUCUGGAAGGGUUUAUCAAUGGUGAUCAAGAAUGUCCUGAGCAGUUUCUUUCUUCUGGAAACAACAAUGGAGCUGAAAUUUUUACUGAAUCUGAAUCCAAAUCUAUUAAUCCAGAGUUCAUAGCUUGGAUGAAGACUGAUCAACUUCUGUUGAGUUAGAUGAUGUCGUCGAUACAGCAAAAUCUACUUGCUACUGUGAUUGACUCCACAACUUCAAAACAGCUUUGGAAGACUCUUACUAGUAUGUUUAUUUCUUAAUCACAAGCUAGAAUUCAAACACUUAGAAUGCAGAUUCAAACUAUUAAGAAAGGUGCAAUGCAUAUGUCUGAUUACUUUGCAAAAGUAAAACGUAUAGCUGAUACUUUAGCUCUAGCUGGAAAACCUGUUGAGUUAAGUGAUCUUGUGAUGCAUGUAUUAACUGGUCUUGAUUCAUCAGAUUAUGAAUCUUUAGUCACAGGUGUUUUAGCUCGAGGUGAGAAGAUAACAUUAGAUGAACUAUAUCCUUUGCUAUUGAAUCAUGAAAAUAGAGUUGAACAAAAGAAAGGAAAAAUUGCUGGUGAUGUGAUGCACAAUAUGACAGCAAAUAUUGCUCAAAAGAACUCAUAUGCUGGAAAGAAUAAUGGCAAUUUUCAAAAAAAUUAUGGAAAUAAUUCUAGGUAUGGAGGUUUUAAUGGAUAUGGAUAGGGUCAGUUUAAUAAUGGUGGUAAUUCCUCUGAAAUUGUUUGUCAAAUCUGCUUCAUACCUGGUCAUGCAGCCAAUAGAUGCAAAAAUAGGUACAAUUCAUCUUUUGUUCCACAGAGAAACUAUGGCAGAGGUAAUAUGAAUGGUGGCAGAGGUUUUAAUCAAGGGCAAUAUGGUAGAGGAAGAGCUUUUAAUAGUAAUGGUGGCAGAGGUUUUGGAGGUUUUGGUUUAAAUGCUGGUUUUGGCUAUGCACCCAGGGGUUUUGGCUAUCAAGGAAAUAUGGUGUAUCCAGAUAGUAAUCCUUCUGCUUAUUACUCAUUCACCCCUGGACCAUCUACUUUUGUUUCUGGUCAAGGAAAUAAUAAUCCUGGACAGUCAAGUGCUUCAUCUUCCUCAGCUAUGCCUUCUUCACUUCCACCAGAACACAUUGAAGAUCCUUCAUGGUAUAUUGAUAGUGGAGCAACAAAUCACAUUACAAAUGAUCUAGGUAAACUUCUGGAUUCACAAAUUUAUACUAGUACUGAAAAAUUAUUUGUUGGAGAUGGAAAUGCAUUAGCUAUUACACAUGUAGGAUCAGUUGUGCUAAAUACUUCAACUUCUAAACCUUUAAAAACCAUGUUCUUCAUGUCCCUUUUAUUACUAAGAAUUUGCUUAGCAUUUCAAAAUUAUUGGCUGACAAUCCAGUUACUGUUGGAAUUUCUUGGUGAUUUGUUUUUUAUAAAGGCUAGGAACACAAGGAAAAUUUUACUUGAAGGUGUUGCUAAAGGUGACUUGUAUAGAGUCUCUUCACAUGUUGCUGCUCAUUCAGUCUUUCUCAAUUCAGUUGGUCAAAAUAAAAUUCACUCUCUUUGCUUGUUCUCCUGUUUUCAAUUCUGAUCAGCUCACUGCUGUUAGUUCUUAUGAAUUGAAUAAAAAGCCAUGUCUGUCAGUUGUUACAAAGAGUUCUAUUGAUGUAAAUCUUCUUCAUAGAAGAUUAGGACACCCAGCAUCUUAUACUCUCAAAACUAUACUCAAAACUUGUAACAACUCUACUGCUUAUAAUAAAAUUGAAAGCUUGAAAUUUUGUUCAGCAUGUCAAUAUGGGAAAAAUCAUAUGCUGCAUUUUGAUUCAGUUGAAACAAAAACUUCAGCACCCUUACAAGUGAUAUAUGCAGAUCUUUGGGGUCCUUCUCAUGUCUGUUCUACCCAAGGAUAUAAUUACUACUUAUCAAUCUUAGAUGAUUAUAGUAGAUUUACCUGGAUAUUUCCAUUGUCAGCCAAAUCUGAUGCUCUUGAAGUGUUUACCAAUUUCAAAAUUUUUAUUGAAAAGCAUCUUCAACUUCAAAUCAAAACUGUCCAAACUGAUUGGGGAGAAGAGUUCAGAACAUUUUCCUCAUUACUCACUGCUUCUGGUAUCCAUUUUAGACACCCUUGCCCACAUAUUCAUCAUCAAAAUGGAAGAAUUGAGAGGAAACAUAGACACAUAGUUGAUGUAGGUCUGACCUUAUUAGCUCAAGCACAUUUACCACUCAAAUUUUGGUGGAAUGCAUUCCACACAGCUGUCUAUUUGAUAAACAGACUUCCAACUCCAAUUCUAAACAACAUUUCUCCUUUCCAAAAGUUAUUUCAUCAUCAACCAGAUUAUUCAACACUUAAAACCUUCGGUUGUGCUUGUUAUCCAACACUCAGACCAUACAAUAGACAUAAGUUUGAUUUCAGAACUGCCAGAUGUAUAUUCAUUGGCUACAAUUCACAACACAAGGGAUAUCAGUGUCUUCACUCUUCUAAGAGGGUUUACAUUUCAAAUCAUGUCACCUUUGAUGAAAAUUCUUUUCCUUAUGAGUCUGGAGCAGAUUUUUCUUCACUCUCUUCAAGUUGUCAGUCAACAAAAAAUUAUAAGUCUUCUUUCAAUUCCUCUGUUCCUUCUAUUACUCAGUUACAAGCACCUUUAGCAGCAUCAUCAGAACACCAUCAAAAUGUUCAUCAUUCAGAUGCUCCUACUCCCUCACCAAAUUCUACUCCACUUUAUUUUUCUGAUAAUUCCAACUCAGCUUCUUCUUCUUCACCACCACAUAAUUCACCUCCACAUACAUUGCCACAACCUGCAUCAACUGGUCAUCCAAUGAUAACCAGGUCAAAAGCAGGUAUUUUCAACCCAAAAAUUUAUUUGUCAGCUUUAUUAGCCCAGAAAUCAGAACCAACUUCUGUUUCCCAAGCACUUUCUGAUCCUAUGUGGUAUAAGGCUAUGCAAGAAGAGUAUCUAGCACUUAAAACUAAUCACACCUAGGAUUUAGUUUUACAUGCUACUCCAGUGAAGAUAGUUGGCAGCAAAUGGGUGUUUUGAAUAAAGUAUAACUCAGAUGGUUCAGUUUCAAGAUAUAAAGUCAGGCUUGUUGCAAAGGGGUUUCAUCAGACACAUGGGAUUGACCAUACAGAAACUUUUAGUCCAGUGGUUAAAGCUUCAACUGUUAGAGUUAUUCUUAGCUUAGCAGUAUUGAAUCAAUGGGUGAUUAGGCAAGUAGAUGUUAAUAAUGCCUUUCUAAAUGGCAUUUUAAUUGAAGAGGUGUACAUGGCUCAACCUGAAGGUUUUGUUGACUCAACUAAACCUAAUCAUAUCUGCAAGCUGAAUAAAGCUUUGUAUGGCUUAAAACAGGCACCUAGAGCCUGGUUUGAUAGAUUCAAGGAUGCAAUGAUCUCUAAACGGCAUUUCCAGCAUUCAAGGUCUGAUAACUCUCUGUUUCAUGCCUGGAACAGUGGUCAUCUAACUCUUGUUUCGGUCUAUGUUGAUGAUAUUAUCAUCACUAGUUCCAGUCCAACACUAAUUCAGCAAGUUAUUAAGAUUAUGAAUUUGCUUUAAAAGACAUGGGGGAACUUAGCUAUUUUCUGGGGAUUGAAGUCAGCAAGUCUUCACAAGGGGUUUCCUUGACACAAGCAAAGUAUAUUACUGACAUUCUGGAUAAACAUGGCAUGACAGAUUGCAGUCCUGUGCCUACUCCAAUGUCUACUGGUUAUUAUCUCACAAAAGAAUCAGGAGAGCUAAUUGAUAAUGUUUCUCAAUAUAGGAGUGUUAUAGGAGCUCUUCAAUAUGUUACUCUUACCAGACCUGACAUUGCUUUCUCUGUAAACAACCUAAGUCAAUUCCUUUCAAGUCCUAGAACACAACAUUGGGAAACAUGCAAAAGGUUAUUGAGGUACUUAAAAGGCACUAUACAUCUUGGGCUGCAAUUUAAUAACAAAGGAGCUUUGCAACUACAUUGUUUUUCAAAUUCUGACUGGGCUUGUGAUCGUGAUGAUAAGAAGUCAGUGGCUGGCUUUGCUGUUUACCUAGGCCCUAAUCUAGUCUCAUGGUCAUCAAAGAAACAAGCUGUUGUUUCCAGGUCCAGCACAGAGGCUGAGUAUAGAUCUCUUGCUCAUGCUGAUUCAGAGGUUCCCUGGUUACAAUCUUUACUUGGUGAACUUAACAUCAAAUUGAGCUCUACUCCUAUGAUGUGGUGUGAUAAUCAAGAAGCAAUUGCUUUAGCUUACAAUCCAGUCUAUCAUGCUAAAACUAAGCAUGUCGAAUUGGAUAUACAUUUUAUCCGAGAUAAAGUUACUGCUAAAGAGAUUGAAGUAUGUUUUGUGCCCAGUCAAGAUCAAACAGCAGAUGUGUUGACUAAGGCUUACUUUCAAACAGUUUAGUUACUUAAGAAGCAAGCUGAAUGUUCAUCCUAAACAUUUCAGCUUGAGGGGGGAUGUUAGUGAAUUGAAUGAAGUUGGAGCAGAGCAUGAUGUUGCUGUGUAGCUGACUGUAGCAGAUCAACUCACUAGGCUGACCUGGCAAAGUUAGUUAGCUGGUUGAGCUGAUGUGUCAAAUUAGUUAUGCAGCAAAUGGUUAUGUGAUGUAACAAACUUGUGUGUGUGUUGAGCAAAUUGUAGCUUAAUAGAAAUAUCAGUCUGUAUUCAUUCAGUUGUAAUGCUAGAGUAAUAAAGGUUCUACAAACUUCUUUACAGCGCUUUCUUUUAUUUUCUUUCAUUUUCUAGCUUGCCAAACAAUACAAAACUAAGUUUCUUUCAGAAAAGGAAAAAUAAAAAGAAAAGAAUAGUUACUGUUGAAAAUAAAGAUUCAAAGUUAUGAUUUCUUUGUAAUCUAGGCUAUUUUAGGAAUAAGUUAAAUUAUAAUGGGAAGAUUCAUUAGGAUUUUUUCCAGAUUUUGUUUCCUAUUAUUUAGGAAAGGAUAGAUGUAGUCUCCUAUUUUCUCUCCUAUUUUGCUGUAUAUAUUCCCUGUACAUACUGUUCUGGAAAGUAAGAAAAAGAGGAACCAAUUCACAUUUUUCUUCAUGGUAUCAGAGCCUGGCUCUAAACCCUAGUUCUCCUAUCAGCCGCCAUUUCCUUCUUCUCUCAUAAAUUGAACAAUCUACCUUCCUUCCUCUCCCAUCAAUUGUAUUCUCUGUGGCAAAAUACGGGAUGGCUUCCUCAUCAACCUCUGUUACAGUAUCACAGUCUAAAGGAAACGUGGAGACUGCAACUCAUGGUGGAAUUGAUUCUUCACCGAUCUUAAUUACCAGUCAUAAAUUGAACGGCCACAAUUAUCUCCAGUGGUCACAAUCUGUCAUGAUGUUCAUCUGUGGCAAGGGUAAGGAUGAUUAUCUCACGGGUGAGGCGGCCAUGCCAAAGGUAUCAGACCCUAGUUUCAAAAGGUGGAAGUCAGAGAACAACAUGAUCAUGUCAUGGCUUAUCAAUUCCAUGAACAAUGAUAUUGGUGAGAAUUUUCUUCUGUUUGGGACUGCAAAGGACAUAUGGGAUGCUGCAAAGGAAACCUAUUCUAGCUCUGAGAACACAUCAGAGUUAUUCCAGAUUGAAACCAUCCUCCAUGACUUCCGCCAAGGAGAACAAUCUGUCACUCAGUACUUUAAUACUCUGACUAGGCAUUGGCAACACCUUGAUCUAUUUGAAACAUACCCUUGGAAGUGCACCGACGAUACAACCUUGUACAAGAAGAUUGUGGAACAGAAGAGAACGUUUAAAUUUCUCCUCGGACUCAAUAAAGAUCUUGAUCAGGUUAGGAGCCGUGUACUCGGGACAAAGCCUCUACCACGCCCUCGUGAAGCCUUUUCUGAAGUUAGGCAUGAAGAAAGUAGGAAAAAGGUGAUGAUGGGGUCAUCAGAACCAACACUGGACGCCUCUGCACUUGCUGCCCGUGCAUCCAACUCUGUAGGGGUUAGUGAAAAUCGUACAAAGAAAGAAAGACCAUGGUGCGAUCACUGUCGUAAGGCAGGCCACUAUAAGGAGAGUUGCUGGAAAAUUUAUGGCAAGCCUGCUGAUUGGAAACCUCGUUCCAAAGGUGACCGUGAAUCUCGUGCUCAUGCAGCAUCCACCACGGACAAUCAGGCCCUACCCGAGCCAAAUCCAUUCAGCAAGGAGCAAAUGGAGAUUCUUCAAAAGCUUUUCGAUCAAGCCACUUUGAACUCCAAUGCAGGGACAAGUCUAGUGGCUCAGAAAGAGACUCAUUCAGCAUUUGCAGCCACUAAUGGAGCAAGCAAACCUUGGAUAAUUGACACUGGUGCUUCUGAUCACAUGACUGGAGAUGCCUCAAUGUUGCAGGAUUAUAAAGCUAGCAUCAACAGCACUUCAGUCUGGAUCGCAGAUGGCUCUCACACAAAAAUAGCAGGGACAGGUUCCAUCAGACUCACUAAGGAGUUACACCUUAAUUCUGUACUUUAUGUGCCUAAUUUGGCUUGCAAUUUACUUUCAAUCAGUAAAUUCACUCGUGAUCAGAAUUGUGUAACUAAAUUCUAUCCAAAUAUGUGCGUUUUUCAGGACUUGGAUUCGCGAAGACGAUUGGCAGUGCUGAGCUAUGUUCUGGACUCUAUCUACUCAAAAGCGAUCAAUCCUCCUUCAUACAAGAUUCGAGAGCAAACUGUGCCAAGUCCAAUAGUCUGUCAACUAGUUAUCCUCAUUCUAUUGUUAGUCCAAAUGUCAAUAACGAUAGUGAAAUUGUUCUGUUACACUAUCGAUUAGGUCAUUCUAGUUUCAUGUAUCUCGCAAAAAUUUUUCCCAAUCUAUUCAUCAAUAAAAACCCUUUAUCAUUUCAUUGUGAAAUUUGUCAAUUUGCAAAACAUACUCGAAAUGUUUAUUCAAGUGUUAAGUAUAAGCCUUCUCGUCCAUUUGCUUUAAUUCACAGUGAUGUGUGGGGUCCCUCAAGAAUUAAAAAUGUUUCUGGGGCUCGCUGGUUUUUGUCAUUUGUGGAUGAUCAUACUCGUCUCACUUGGGUGUUUCUCAUGAAAAACAAAUCCGAAGUUAGUCAAAUCUUCCAAAACUUUAACGCCAUGAUUCAAACCCAAUUCAAUACCAAAAUCCAAGUCCUUAAAACCGACAAUGCCAAGGAAUAUUUCAAAGACUCCCUCAGCUCAUAUCUUCUCCAUCAAGGCAUUCUUCACAUCAGUUCUUGUGUUGACACCCCGCAACAAAAUGGGGUCGCUGAACGCAAAAACAGACACCUUCUUGAAGUGGCUCGCUGUCUUUUGUUCUCAUCUCAUGUUCCUAAUUUUUUCUGGGGUGAAGCUGUUCUCACUGCAGCCUACUUAAUCAACCGAAUGCCUUCUAGAGUCUUGGGGUUUCAUUGCCCAAGAAAAGUUCUUCUCAAUUUCUUUCCACACACUAGGAUUGUUUCAGCAGAUUUACCACAAAAAAUAUUCGGUUGCACAGCAUAUGUCCAUGUUCACUCUCAACACAGGACUAAACUUGAUCCCCGAUCUCUCAAGUGUAUAUUUUUAGGCUAUUCUCCACAUAAAAAAGGAUACAAAUGCUAUUCUCCUCAUACCAGAAAAAUAUACAUUUCCAGAGAUGUAACAUUUGUUGAAAACCUGCCUUUAUAUUCCAAAACUGUUGUUCAGGGAGAGAGUAUGAGCGAACAUCAGCCUUGGGAAUCUUCUUGGCAAUCUUGGCUGGAAACCCCUCAUGAAAACCCUCAUAACUCAACCACCACACAUGAUCAAUCUAUCCAACAGCCACAAUCAGCAAUCCUCCCAACAUCUUCACAACCUUUUGAGUCAUCUGAGUCCUCCCAACCACAAUCAGCCGAGUCACCCCGUCAUCCAUCAGCCCAUCAACUACAGCCUCUAAUCUCACCUCUUCCACAGCUUGCUGUUGAUAAUCUUAAUGUUUAUAGGAGGAGAAGAACUGGAGAGCAGAUAGAGCACAGAACUCAGCCACAUGUCCAAGAAACUGAACCAAAUCCAAGCUCUUAUGAAGACAACACAGGUAUGGAUAGUCUUGCCUCGGUUGAGUUCAUGGUUCCAAGUGUGGAUGAUUCUAAUAAAUCAAUUGCAGAAAGAAAGGGGGUUCAAAGUUGUACCACUCAUCCAAUUGCCAAAUAUGUCUCAUAUGAUGGUUUGUCCCCAUCAUACCGAGCCUUUGUUUCUUCUUUAGAUAAUCUACAUGUUCCCAACAAUAUACAAGAGGCUCUCGGUCAUCCUGAGUGGAAGAGAGCUGUUCAUGAAGAAAUAAAUGCUCUUGAGAAAAAUGAUACAUGGGUUAUAACAGAUCUUCCUGCAGGGAAACGACCAGUUGGAUGUAAGUGGAUUUUUACUGUUAAAUACAAGGCAGAUGGAAGUGUUGAGAGCCUCAAAGCUCGUCUUGUAGCUAAAGGGUUCACACAGUCAUAUGGGAUUGAUUAUCUUGAAACCUUUGCUCCGGUUGCGAAGCUCAACACCAUUAGAAUCUUGCUCUCCUUAGCAGUAAAUCUAGAUUGGUACUUAUACCAACUAGAUAUAAAAAAUGCGUUUCUCAAUGGCGAUCUUGAAGAAGAAGUGUUUAUGGAAGUUCCCCAGGGUCUUGAUCUGAAUCUUACUAGAAAUAAAGUGUGCAAGCUCAAGAAAUCUUUGUAUGGGCUUAAACAAUCCCCUCGAGCAUGGUUUGAUAGAUUUGCGAAGGCAGUUGUGAGACUUGGUUACACUCAGUGUCAGGCAGAUCACACUUUAUUCCUCCGAACAUCACAAGCAAAGAAGAUCUCUCUCCUAAUCGUAUAUGUUGAUGACAUCAUUCUCUCAGGAAAUGAUGAGGAAGAACUGCAGAAGUUGAAGAAACAGCUAGCUCAGGAAUUCGAAGUUAAAGAUCUAGGGAAUCUGAAAUAUUUUCUUGGGAUGGAGGUGGCAAGAUCUAGGAAGGGAAUUGUUGUCUCCCAAAGGAAAUACACCCUGGACUUACUAAAGGAGACUGGUAUGAUUGGGUGCAAACCAGUAGAUACUCCUAUGGAUCCCUACAAGAAACUAGGCUCAGUUGAGAAUAGUGUUCCAGUCAAUAGAGGGAGAUAUCAAAGACUGGUUGGUCGUUUAAUUUAUCUCUCACAUACCCGUCCGGACAUAGGCUUUGUUGUUAGUGUUGUGAGCCAAUUCAUGCACAAUCCUACAGAGGAACACAUGGAUGCAGUCUUUAGAAUUUUGAAGUAUCUAAAGAUGACACCUGGAAAAGGAUUGUUUUUCAAGAAAUCAGAAUAUAGGAAUAUUGAGAUCUACUCUGAUGCAGACUGGGCUGGAGACAUCACAAAUAGAAGAUCAACAUCUGCUUACUGUUCCUAUGUCUGGGGAAAUCUAGUAACCUGGAGGAGUAAGAAACAAUCAGUUGUAGCUAGGAGUAGUGCAGAAGCAGAGUUCAGAGCUUUGGCAAAUGGAAUCUGUGAAGGAAUUUGGAUAAAGCGUGUACUCAAGGAACUCGGUGUGUGCAGCCCUUCAUCCAUUCUAAUGAGGUGUGACAAUCAAGCAGCAAUCAGCAUCGCAAAAAACCCAGUGCAUCAUGAUCGAACCAAACAUGUCGAGAUUGAUAGGCACUUCAUCUCAGAGAAGGUCACUAGUGGAAGUGUGGAACUAAAGUACAUUCCAACUAGACAACAAAUUGCAGACAUCCUUACUAAAGCACUGCCAAGACCUAACUUUGAAGACUUAAGUAACAAGCUGGGUUUGUAUGAUAUACACACACCAGCUUGAGGGGGAGUGUUGAAAAUAAAGAUUCAAAGUUAUGAUUUAUUUGUAAUCUAGGCUAUUUUAGGAAUAAGUUAAAUUAUAAUGGGAAGAUUCAUUAGGAUUCUUUCUAGAUUUUGUUUCCUAUUAUUUAGGAAAGGAUAGAUGUAGUCUCCUAUUUUCUCUCCUAUUUUGCUGUAUAUAUUCCCUGUACAUACUGUUCUGGAAAGUAAGAAAAAGAGGAACCAAUUCACAUUUUUCUUCAGUUACUUGUGCAGUACAGCCUUGACGCCUAGCUACAUGGUCCAUUCUCUUUGUGUCUUUGAACCAAUCAACAGCAACAAGAUCCAUUAAAUGUUUUCCCGCAGGUGUCUGCAGUUACAAAUUGCACAAAGCACAAGAGCCAACCAAACUACAUCAUAACAUGUCGACCUAGCAUAUGCAGGAUAUAUAAAUACCAUAACAAACAACCAAAAUAUGGGGGAACCUUUGUUUUGUCAUAACAAAAAUGCUUGCUACGAACUCUAAAGUUAUUUCCACCAGAAAGUUUCCAGCAGUCACGAGCAUUAUCACAGUCAUCGUGUCGCAGAUUGCCGGAAAAAUAAGACAAAUCAAUUUGAUCAGCCUGCUCUUCCUCUAGGGUAACAACUAAUUGAAAAUUAUAAACCAAAAAAAAAAAAUCAAUACCAUAAAAAUCCACUAAUGAGGACAUUAGCCAAAUAUACAAAAAUGAAUACUUAUCAUCCACCUGUCCUCUUGAAAUCAUUCUCAAUCUUUUUUUCAUUUGCCUGAAAUCCCAAGGAAAAAUAUGGAACUAAUACUUCCCAUUCAUGACUAUUGUCUGUCAUAUAAACAUGACAUUUAAUUGAAAUAGUAAAAUUAUUUAAUUAUUUUAAUUAAAUGUUAAUCCUAUAAAUUAUUUUUGUUAAAUCUAGCAAGAAUAACUAACAUUUCUUUAAGAUAUAUUUUGGCGGUAAAUUAAAAAAAAUUAAUUAUUUGGCGGGAAUUAUUGAAAUUGGAGCCAUUUUUUUGUGGGAAUUGAAAUAUAUUCUUUAAAUUAUUAUAUAAAAAGAAAAAUGUACAUACACACACAUAUAUAUAAUUUAUAUAUAAAAAUUCUCUAAUUUGUUCACAAGUAUCAUAGAUUAUAAUUCAGUUAUGAAAUAAAAUAACUACAAGGAAAAAUAUGUAACUAAUACUUCCCAUUCAUGACUAUUGUCUGUCAUAUAAACAUGACAUUUAAUUGAAAUAGUAAAAUUAUUUAAUUAUUUUAAUUAAAUGUUAAUCCUAUAAAUUAUUUUUGUUAAAUCUAGCAAGAAUAACUAACAUUUCUUUAAGAUAUAUUUUGGCGGUAAAUUAAAAAAAAUUAAUUAUUUGGCAGGAAUUAUUGAAAUUGGAGCCAUUUUUUUGUGGGAAUUGAAAUAUAUUCUUUAAAUUAUUAUAUAAAAAGCAAAAUGUACAUACACACACAUAUAUAUAAUUUAUAUAUAAAAAUUCUCUAAUUUGUUCACAAGUAUCAUAGAUUAUAAUUCAGUUAUGAAAUAAAAUAACUACAAUAAUUAUAGUUAAAUGAAUACUUCAUUAAUUCUUAAUUUGCUUCCUAACAUUAAAUGAACAACUUGAGCCAACCACCUGAAUCAACCAGUAACAACGCCUGAGUCAACCAUCUGAAAAAACCAGCAACCCUAGCUGAUUCAAGCACCUGCAAUUAACAUCAACACAUCAGGAACAAUCGUAAAUCAGCACCAAGAACAGACCAAACUGCCAUCAAAUGCCACAAAACCAAACAGUCUGCUACUGCCAUCAAAUGCAAGCAAACAUAUGCAACAAAACCAGAUGCAAGUGAAAAUCUGGAGAAUAUCGGAUAAACCAAACCAAAUGCCACACUUCUAGUAAUUAGACUAGAUGCAGUGUUCAAUUAAACUAAAUGUAGUCUCAUAUUACAUUCAAAGGUGAAAACACUGUAAAAAAAAAUACAGCCAAAACAAUUGUUUACUUUUAAGUUCUAACAAAGCGUAACAGUCCAAAACCAAAACAUCUUAACUACCAAGCAAACAUCUAACAUAAUUAUUAAAAUUAAAAAGGAAAAAACAUAGGAAUCUCAGUUCUUAUACAUUUUGUAUGCAUUUAGUAAGCACACGCACAUAGACCAUCUAUGCAUAACCUUCUUCUAGCCCACCUGCAGAUGUCACAGAGAAGAGACAUUUUUUGCAGCUUGAAGUGCUCCAAUUGCUUUGUGAAGGUCCAAUUGUAAGCCUAAAUAUUGAAUCCAUGAGUCCAUAUAAUUGAAGGCUGGUGGCGACUUUUGAGUACAAAUCAAGAGAGAGUGAAGUGUGAAUUUCUGCAUGGCCCAUAACUUCAUCCACGUAGCUAUUCACUUCUUUGCAGUGAAAAGUUCCUUAAUCCUGGCACUAAUGUUGGGCAUCAUUUUGAUUUUUCAAGCCCUUUUAGAACACUUAUUGAUUUAGGAAAUUAAGGGAGCCAUUGAAAGGUGACUAAAACGGAGUGAGUUAGGGGUCCUACCUCUCUGUAGGGCUCUCGAAUCGCGGGAAAUGAGCUCCAUUGUGACCUUCAUUUCCUCCUUUUCGGAAAAAUUAGUUCAUGGCGCUUACGAUGUGAGCAAUUACUCUUUCUGGUGUCCUGAUGGUUGAUAACAGAGACUUUCAGCCUCGCUGCCUCAGGUAAGCUUGAUGGGAGGACCAGAUGUCAUACAAAAAAUAAAAGCUUUCUUUUCUCGGUAAAAGCAUGCGCAUUUUUCUGUAAGUGGGGAAGAGGCCGCGCCGUCAACACUGCAUCGGUGAAGAUGGGUGGUGGUUGUUGGUGGAGAAACGGAGGGAGGUGGCGAUUCUGAGACUUGUUGCGAUUUAGGGUUGGCCGGUUGGGUUUGGGGGAAAUUGGGUAAAGCAAAAUGCAUUUUUGUUGUUAUAUAUAUAUAUAUAUAGAUAUAUAUAUAGUAGUUGGAUUAGCUAAAAGACAAAAAAAUUUAAAUUUUACUACACUACAUGAUAAAAUACAGUGCAUUGGAGUAUGUGUUUAUUUUGUCUUUUAACUAAUCCCUGAUUGGAAAACUACUAUAUAUAUAUAUAUAUAUAUUUUUUUUUUACUUAAUAAAAAAGUGGGCACGGGUCCGGGUUCCGGAUUCUUGGUGCUGUGACCGGACCCGUGCCCGGAUCCGCUUUUUCCAUGCAUCCGAUCCGGGUUUUACCCGGACCGUAUGCACCAGGUCCAGUCCGGAUCCGGUCUGAGCGGGCUUUUCUGCCAUCUCUACAGUGGAGAGAGGGAUUAAUUCAACGCUUAGCCAAAAUUUGGCUGCGAGUGUUAAUGGGUUUUAAGUUAUACAAAACGGUGUCGUUAAUUUAAACGGCAUUGUUUUACAAUCUUAUAAGUUCACAAAACUUAAGCAUGACUUAUAUGUAUAAUUUAUUUACGAUGGUUAAGUUAUAAGUCAUGAAUAUGUCAUAUACUCUGGACAUGAAUAUAUAUCACGAAUCUAUCAUAUUUUCAUGACACAUUCGUGACAUAACGAUAUAUGUUAUAAAAUUUCUGUCAUUAUUUAGUAUUUUUCUAGUAAUGUCAGGUCUUUAAAACCUUUCUAUUAAUAACAAAAACUCUAAUCCUUUAGCAAAAGACUAAAAAUUUUAAAAAAAUCUGUUUAAAUAUCAGUUGGCUCAUAAUCAACACUUCAAUAUUGUUUGUUGUAUUUUCUUUCUUUCUUUUUUUGUCAUUUUAUUAGAUUUGCUUUGUAUCAUGGUUUGUUUUGCUUAAGUAAUUGUUCAUUAUUUACGUCUGUGUUCUUACUAGCUUUUGAUAAUUUAUGGUUGGUUUUUUAUUCAGACCCUCGAAGUACCUUUUUGUUAAUAGCAAAACCUCUGAUCCUCAAGAAAGAAAAAGAAAUUCUCUAUUUAAUUAUUAGUUAGUUCAAGAUCAAUAUCGCAAUAUUGUUUGCAGUCUUUUCAUUCUCUGUCUUUCCCACUAGUUCAUUUUAAUUUAUCUGUAUUCCUUUCUUUGACACUUGUAUUUAUUUAUAUAGAUUGUUAAGCAACAGGCAAUGGCUGCAGAAGGGUGUCUCCCUACUUUUUCUAGCAUUGUAUCACAAGGUUCAAAAGCAUUAUUCAAACCGAUUAUGUGGCACAUAUCUUAUGUGUUCCGAGUACCAGAGCUACAUAGAUGGGCUAAAAGAUUGAGUGAAGGAGCUGGAAUAUAUAAGAGAAAGGGUGCAAAUGCUGGUUAGAGAGGCUACUCUACAAGGAGAUGAGAUUUAUAAGGGUGUCAGAGACUGGCUAAAUAGAGUUGCUGAAUUCAGUGAAGGGGUUGCAAAAUCAAUCAUUGAUGAUAAAGAUAGAGCUAAGAUGUUCUGCUUCAAAAGGUUGUGCCCAAAUUUGAUUUCUUGUUACAAGCUUGGUAAACAAGCAGCAGAGGCCGCAAACGAAGCUGAUAAACUUGUGAAGAAAGGCGAAUUUAACAUUUGUAAUCAUGUUUCCUACCGUCCUGCUCCAGAGAGUACAGAAUAUGUGCAAGUGAAAGAUUACGUAGCCUUUUAUUAUAAUAUCUUUUCACUCUAUUAACUUAAAAAAGAUUGACUUCAAUAUUAAAAAUGUAACAGUAUAUACAUUUUAUAAUAAUUUCAAUAUUUAAAAAAUAUUUGAAUACUUUACAAUCUUAUAUUAUAUUAAACUACAUUUUAUAAUAAAUAGAAACAUAAUAUUAAAAUAAAUAUAUAAAAUUUUAAGUUAGGCUUAAUAUUAUUUAAAAUAAUUUAAAUAUCAUUAAUACAUGAGAUAUAUUAUAUUAAUUAUAAAUUCUAUUUAAUCUAAAUAUAUAUUUAAAGUUUUAUACUAAAAAUAGAUAUAUUAUUAAAAUAAAUAUAACAACUAACAUUUUAAAGAUUAAUACUGAAAUUAAAAUUAUAAAUUAUAUUAAUCUACUAAAAAGAUUCAUCUAUUUGACACUAGCAGCGGACAAUGAGGUCACGGCAUAGGACAAGCAGUUAUCGUGACCCAUGGACUUUUCUACUUCUUUUGAAAAAAAAAAAAAUAUCAAAGUCAUUGAAGUGCGUUUGAUGAUAUGCUGUGUAGCUUCUCUCUCAAAUGCUUUUCGAGUGCCUCCAGUAUCUGCUUUUAUAUAAGCUUUUGUCUUUAAUCAUUCAUUCAAGCUUUCGCUAAGAGUGAUGCAGCACAGCACGUAAAUAUAGAAGCAUUGACAGCCGUAGUCAGGAGCUCUUCGGUAUUUGAAGCAAGAAUGGUUGUUUGGCUUUGUGCAUUGAAAGAGAAAAGAAAAAAGAAAGACUAAUUUCAAUAAUACAAUUUAAUUAAUUAAUUUAAAAUAAUAAGCAAAUAAUAAUGAUGAAAUUAAUUAAUAAAAAGAAGAAAAUGAAAAUUGCACGUGCUACUAGCAUAAACCAAUUGCCGGAAUGAGGUCACUUUGUAGACAAAUGAUUCUGGAAUCAGAACUUGGGCCAGCUUUGGGUUAUGGAUCCAAAAUAAAAAUAAGGUGGGCCACAUGGUCUCUUAUGAUCAAUAAAAAUCGAUUGAAAAGGAUGGUAUAGUGAGUGGAAGAGAAAUGCCGAUGGCAGAUCAAGGGAUGAAGAUACGAGCUCACUUGCAACGUGGUAUAGUUCAUCAUGGCUGGCUUUCCUAUAAGUUCAGGUCCUUUGAAUACUUUCAAUGACCUUAUUAGUCAGGAAUUUAACAAUAAUUUUUAUUUUUUACAUCCAGGAACGGUUUUAAGCAUAGGCAAAUUAGGCCUAUAAUAGCAAAUCCUCUUUUUUAACAAUUAAACAAUUAGGAAGUCUCCCUUUUUUAUUUUUGGUAUUACUUAUAAUAGCAAAUCUUCUUUUUUAGGCCUCUUUUUAGUUAGUAAUUAUCUUAUAAUUAAGAAUUUUUAUACACAUUCUAUCUUUGAUAACCUUAAUAUUAAAGAUCUCUAAUUAAUAGUAUUAUCUAAUUGUUAAUUUAUUAUUAGUUUUUCCAAGAAAAAAAUUAAAAUCUUUAUCUAUUUAAUACUUCAGUUUUUUUUUCGUCAGUGGCAGAUAAAAGAGUCGGUUUUUCCGUUACUAAGCUUUUUAUGGAUGAAUUUUUUUUUAUAAUUUCUUUGUUUUAUAGGUUCUCUGUGAAUGCCAUUAGAAAUGAGAUUGACUAAUUCAAACUUCCUUUUUCCCCUUAGCAUCCAAACGUGUGAGGCAAGGGCAACUAAUGAGUCCAUUGUGAUGAGAACCUUUGUCUAAGCAAAAGCAGAGGUCAAUUGCUAAUACCGUACUGUUAUUAGUUUCAGUGCUUAAAUUGCUCCAUAAGUUUGCAUUUUAAAGUCUCUGUCUUAAUUUCUGAGGUAUACUGCUAAUGAGACCUCCUGCCAAGUUCAAGUUUGUUGUGAUGGCUACUUUGUCAUAUAACUGACUGUGAGAGGCCAUCAAUCAGCUCUGUUUUGUAAUUUUGUACCUUUUUUUUUCAUAUAAUGAUCAAUCAAAUGUUAGCCCUUAGAUUGCAACCAAUAUUUACUGAUUGUCUUAUAUAGGAUAUAAACUAAAUUCAUAAGACAUUCCCUUAUUGAUAUUCAUUCCGACACGUCCUAGUCUUUUGCCUUGUAGAAAUGCUUGUGGUUGAAGAGCUUUACAGAGAAGCUGUCGUCAGUACUGCGCGGAAAUUGAUUAUAUUGAAUCAGAAAACUUGACCAGAUAAGGUCUGUGUGCAUGAGAAUACUUGAGGAAAGCUUCACAAUACUGAGGGCCGGAUCUGCACUCUUUCCUCUAUAUGUGUCUUCAAUAUCAAUGGCUCAAAUACAUGUGUUAUGGUCUUUUAAUAUAUAUAAAAUACCAUUAUCUCAUGCGUUAUGGUCUUAUCCUUGUAUUCUUAAAAACUACAUAAAAUACCGUUAUCUCUGCUUUUGUAGCUAUUGAAUUCGACUUUCACAACAUAAAUAUUUAUUAGCAACAACUUAAAAUCCAAACAAAUCUAACAUGCAAUGUAUCAAUUACAUAUUAUGAUUAAACAGAUUUUGAUUAUUUAUUAUUAAAAUAUAUUCUCAUUAAUAUCUUAAGGAUAGGUAAUACUCACAUAAUUUUUUUAAAAAUCAAACCCAAAUUAUAUGCAUUGUUAAUGUGUAUUAUUGUCUAAUAUUUGGAUUUUACUAAUUUACAACUGCUAUAAUGUACGGCCUCUUCAAACAUAAUGUGGGUCCCACCACGUGUUAAAUUUUUUACAUUAUUUUUGAAGGAAUUGUAAGUUACAGCAGCUGUAAAUUAGCAGCACCUCCAAUAUUUUACUUUACUUCCCCUAAUAUUUUACUUGUACUUUUAUAUCUUUACAAAACAAUACCAACAAGACAAUAAUGUAUGAAAUAAAUAAAAUAAAUAAAUAAAGAACUGACAACGAAAUUAGGCCUAUCAUUAAUUUCUCUUGGUGUGAACUCUUGACAAUUCUCCCAUAUCCCACCUAAAGCUCUCGCAUGGUGUGAACGCUUGACGAUUCUCCCAUAUCCCUCCAAAAAUUUGUCAUAUUGCGAAAAACAAUGUCAAUUCAAUAUCGUCUCCAUUAGUCAUAGUGGCAGAUAGGACUAGAAUUUGUUGAAACCCUUGGACUUAUUUUUCCUUUUGAAAAUAAUUUUGUAGAAUCUCAUAUCGUGAAUAACGGACAAUGAGACUCUUUUUUUUAACUAUAAUAUUUUUUUAAAAUUAUUAACUAAAAAAAUUAAUUUUAAUAUUUUAUAAUAAAUAUAAGUAGGAUAUUAAAAUAAAUAUAAUAAUAUAUACAUAUUAAAAUAAUUUCAAUACCAAAAAAUAUUUUAAUAGUUUACAAUCUCGUAUUCUAUUAAACCAAAUUAUAAUAAAUAGAGACAUAAUAUUAAAAUAAAUAUAUAAAAUUUUAAAUUAUUUUCAAUAUCAUAUAAAAUAACUUUAAUAUUAUUAAAACGUGAGAAAUAUUAUAUUAAUUAUAAAAACUAUUUAACCCAAGGAUUUGUUUAAAAUUUUUAUAAUAAAUAUAUUAAAUUACAUUUUAAAAAUUAAGUAUUUAAAUUAUACAUACUAGUCUACUAGAAAAUUUAAACUAUUUAAAUCAUAUUUACAUUUAGUAAAAAAUUUUGAAGUCAUUUUUUUUUUUGUGAAUACCAUAAGAGUGCUAUAGUCAAAAAGGGUAUUGGUGUUCUUUAUUAAAAGUUUGGGGUCUACAUGACUAUUUUCUAAAAUUUUAAGGGUGUCAUUUUAUUUUUGAAAAAAAUAAAAAUUUCAUUUAAACAGCUAAAAUGGUGAAUAGUACAAUGCUACAGUGGGCGUAAAUGGAAGGUAAAAAGCAAUCAGAUUUUGAUUAAACAUGCAAUGUAUGAAAUAUAUAUUAUAAUUAUACAGAUUUUGAUUAUUUAAUAUUAAAUUAUAUUCACAUUAAUAUCUUAAGGAUAGUUAAUACUCAAAUAAUUUUUCAAAAAAUCAAACCCAAAUUAUAUGCAUUGUUAAUGUGCGUUAUUGUCUAAUAUUUGGAUUUUGCUAUGUCACAACUACUGUAACUUAAAGCCUCUUCAAACAUAUGUCGAUCCCACCACGUGUUAAAUUUUUUACAUUAUUUUUUAAGGGAUUGUAAGUUACAACAGCUUAACUUAGCAGCACCCUAAUAGUUUAUUUUACUUUUAUAUCUUUACAAAACAAUGCCAACAAGACAACAAUGUAUGAAAUAAAUAAAAUAAAUAAACAAAGAUCUGACAGCAAAAUUAUGGCUAUCAUUGGUUUCUUGUGGUGUGAACUCUUGACAAUCCUCCCCAAUCCCAUCCAAAACUCCCGCGUAGUGUGAACAUUUGACGAUUCUCCCAUAUCCCUCCAAAAAUUUGUCAUAUUGCGAAAAGUAAUGUCAAUUGCAAUGUCGUUUUCAUUAGUCAUAGUGGCAAAUAGGACUAGAAUUUAUUGAAACCCCUCGACUUAUUUUUCCUUUUGAAAAUAAUUUUGUAGAACCUCAUAUCGUGAAUAAAAGACAAUAAGACUCUUUUUUUUAAUUAUAAUAUUUUUUAAAUUUAUUAACUAAAAAAAUUAAUUUUAAUAUUUUAUAAUAAAUAUAAGUAGGAUAUUAAAAUAAAUAUAAUAAUAUGUACAUAUUAAAAUAAUUUCAAUACCUAAAAAUAUUUUAAUAUUUUACAAUCUCGUAUUCUAUUAAACCAAAUUAUAAUAAAUAGAGACAUAAUAUUCAAAUAAAUAUAUAAAAUUUUUAAUUAUUUUCAAUAUCAUAUAAAAUAAUUUUAAUAUUAUUAAAACAUGAGAAAUAUUAUAUUAAUUAUAAAAUCCAUUUAACCCAAGGAUUUGUUUAAAAUUUUUAUAAUAAAUAUAUUAUUAAAAUAAAUAUAUUAAAUUACAUUUUAAAAAUUAAUUAUUUAAAUUAUACAUACUAGUCUACUAGAAAAUUUAAACUAUUUAAAUCAUAUAUACAUUUAGUAAAAAAUUUUGAAGUCAUUUUUUUUUUGUGGCUACCAUAAGAGUACUAUAGUCAAAAAGGGUAUUGGUGUUCUUUAUUAAAAUUUUGGGGUCUACAUGAUUAUUUUCUAAAAUUUUAAGGGUGUCAUUUUAUUUUUGGAAAAAAAAAUUCAUUUAAACAGCUAAAAUGGUAAAUAGUACAAUGCUACAAUGGCGUAAAUGGAAUGUAAAAAGCAAUCAAAAUGACCAACAGUCUAACGCCUCAUCAGGGACAUAAAGUCAAAGUUUGUUGCAUGUGGUCAGGGCCAUUUAGUCUGUGAGUGGGUCCUGCAUGUCAUUUUUGGGCAUUUCAUCUUCUUUAGCAUUGAAGAUUAAAUGUUGACGACAUUUUCAAAAUUUUGGAAGACCCAUUAUACUUUUGGAUGGCUGUCAUUACUUGAUAUUAUCAUUAUAUGAUGAAAUAAAAUUGGAUGUAACACUUGUUUCGCGUUGUGGGAACUUUUGACAAUUCCCCAUAUCUCCUAAAAAUCUUUCGCCAUUUUGGGAAGAUGCCAUUUAUUUUCAUUUUCAUCAUUGAUAUUGGCAGAUAAUGGGGUCCGAGGACAGACCAUAAAUUAUUGCGACCCAUGGACUUUUCUAAUUUUUUUUUUUCCUUUGGAUAGUUUUCGUUAUUUGAUAGAAGGAGAUAGAGAUAAAGUUUUUUAAUCAAAUGCCCAUUUUAUUUAACAUGGAAGAAGAUCUUUAAACUCUAAGCGAGGCUAUCACUUCAACAGAUGCAGCUUCAAAAAAGAGGUAACAAGUGAUGAGAUAGACUCAUUAUUGUCUAAUCAAACAAGGACAUCGGUAGAUGUAUCAGGAUCUUAAGUUAGAUUGGAAUUUGAUACAUUGUUGUUCGUAACGUUGGUUCAAACCUUUAAAGCAAGGUUGGAUGCAAAAUGGUUUACACCAAAGACGUGAUUUAGGAAGUUAAUUAACGUUAUUUUAGAUAAUUUAUAAUUCUAAAAUAUUUAUUAUUUUAUGGUUUUCUAUUUUUGUUUGAGUCAAUUAUGGUAUGUAUCUUAAUCUUUUAUUUCCAUUAUAAUUAUAAUUUAAAUUUUCUUUUUAGGUUAACUUAGGAAAGUGGAUUUCUUUUAUUAUAAAUAAAGAUGUCUGUAAUAAAAAAAAUAAAGAUGUCUUGUCAUUGUUUUCAGGACUUCAAAUUCAAUUAUUAAAUAAAACUCUUUUUUUUAUAAUUUCCUCUAGUAUUAUUUAUCAAAAUCUCUCUUAUAGAGUUAUUUAAAUUAGAGUGUCAUCUAAUCUCGUAUUACGCGUUAUUAAAAAUCUCAUUGAAUCAUUUAGAUUAAAACAAUAUCUAAUCACGCUUUGAUUAAAGCGUAAGUUAAUUGUGUUGGCUUGAUCCAGUACUAGAAUGAUAUUUAGUAUUUCUUACCUUAUCAAUUCCACUUCCGCUACGCUCGCUCCAUCAAUUGGUAUCAAAGCAAUUCUGUGCGAAUCACACAUCUUUCCUAGAUACACCAUACCCAUCCAAACCAAAUCCAUCAAAAAAAAAAAUUACAAAUUUGAAAACCCUACCCGUCAGACCAACCCCCACCGCCGCCCACCACCGCCAAUCAGCCAGCCAACACCACCACAAACCUCACUAGCCACCGUCGACCAAGCCUCAGUCAUCGCUGCCUCAACCGCCGCUUGAACAGCCGCAAAUCACCAACCCAAACCUGCGGCUCCACCAAGCAACCCACCACCAUUCAGCCACUUUCUCCACCAGCCACCUCCACCAACAAACUCGCCGGCCUUCGUUGACCAAAAACUGACCGACUUCGGCCCUUGAUCGCCGCCCUCUGUCACCACACGAAACGACAACCCACGAGUGCUUCCUACACGCGCCGCCACCAAAACACCUUCUUUUUCCGUCAAUUUACACCACCACCAUAAUCCCUAGCAGUCGGCAACCGUAAAUCCAGUCUUCCGCCACUGUAAAGCCGCCAUAAACCAAAAGCCACAUCACCAAAAUCAACCGCCAAUUCAAGUCGGAUUUUCCCCAAUUCAGGUUGCUGAAUAUAAAAAGGACUCAUGAAAAUUACCUAAAGUUUCAAAUAUUGUUAUUCAGCAACCACUUUUAUGGUACAUUAGUUUCAACCCAAAUUUUAUAUAAAUAAUUUAUAACUCCCAUUAUUAUUAUAAAAAAAAAUUGUAGCAAUUGUGGUUAUAUCACAUGAAAAAAAAAAUCUAAUUAAAGAAAUUAACAUUAUAAUUUAAGGGAUAGUUGCUCUUUUAAUCAUUAGAAUUUAUGUCAAUUAUCCAGCUUAUCCUUGCAUUCUUAAAAACUAUAUACAAUACCAUUAUCUCUGCUUUUGUAGCUAUUGAAUUUGACUUUGACAACAUAAAUAUUUAUUAGCAACAACUUAAAAUUCAAACAAAUCUAAUAUGUAAUGUAUGAAAUACAAAUAAUAAUUAAACAAAUUUUGAUUAUUUAAUAUUAAGAUAUAAUCACAUUAAUAUCAUAAGGAUAGGUGGUACUCAAAUAAUCUUUUAAAAAUCAAACCCAAAUUAUAUGCAUUAUUAAUAUGCAUUAUUGUAUAAUAUUUAGAUUUUGUUAAGUUACAACUACUAUAACUUAAGUCUCUUAAAAAAUAUGUGAGUCCCACCACCUAUUAAAUUUUUUACAUUAUUUUUGAAAAAAUUACAAGUUACAUCAGUUGUAACUUAACAGCACCCCUAGUAUUUUACUUUACUUUUAUACCUUUACAAGAACAAUAAUGUAUGAAAUAAAAAAAAUAAAUAAAUAAAGAACUGACAACGAAAUUAGACCUAUCAUUAGUUUCUUGUGGUGUGAACUCUUGACAAUCCUCCCCUAUCCCACCUAAAGCUCUCGCGUGGUGUGAAUGUUUGACAAUUCUCCCAUAUCCCUCCAUAAUAUGUCAUAUUGCGAAAAGCAAUGUCAAUUGCAAUGCCGUUUCCCAUUAGUCAUAGUGAUAGAUAGGACCAGAAUUUUUUGAAACCCCCGAGGCCCUAAACUUGUUUUUCCUUUUGAAAAUAAGAAAAUGGCACCUGUCUAGAGAAAUAAUUUAUUAGAACCUUAUAUCAUGAAUAACGGCCAAUAAGACUUUUUUUAAAUUAUAAUAUUUUUAAAUUUAUUAACUAAAAAAAUUAACUCUAAUAAUUUAUGAUAAAUAUAAAUAGGAUAUUAAAAUAAAUAUAAUAAUAUAUAGAUAUUAAAAUAAUUUCAAUAUCUAAAAUAUUAAUAUUUUACAAUCUCGUAUUCUAUUAAACCAAAUUAUAAUAAAUAGAGACAUAAUAUUCAAAUAAAUAUAUAAAAAUUUAGGUUAUUUUCAAUGUCAUAUAAAAUAGUUUUAAUAUUAUUAAUACCUGAGAAAUAUUAUAUUAAUUGUAAAAUCUAUUUAACCUAAGGAUUUAGUUAAAAUUUUAAAAUAAUUACAAAUAUUUUAUAAGUACAAAUAAAUUAAUUUACAUUUUAAAAAUUAAUAUUGAAAUUAAUUAUUUAAAUUAUAUAUAUUAGUCUUCUGGAAAAUUUAAAUUAUUUAAAUCAUAUUUACAUUUCGUAAAAAAUUUUAAGUCAAUUUGUUUGAUUACCACCUGCUAAGGGUAUUGUAGUCAAGGGGAAUAUUGGUAUUCUUUAUUAAAAAUUUGGGAUCUACAUGAUUAUUUUUCUAAAUUUUAAUGGUGUCAUUUUAUUUUUGACAAAAAUAAAAUUUCAUUUAAACAACUAAAAUGAUGAAUAAUACAGUGCUACAGUGGCGCAAGUGGAAGGUAGGAAACAAUCAAAAUGAACAGUCUAACGUCACAGCAGGCAUAUAAGGCCAAAGUUUGUUACAUCCCAAUACAAAAAGUUUGAAACUUUGCACCUUCUGAAAUGAAACAAACUUACUUGGAUAUUGGUGAUCAGUGAGAAAAGCCCUUUUUCAAAAGCAACCUUAGGGUACCGAGUGUUACAGAUUCAAUGAACCACAAAUACUUAUUUACAUUGUAGUAUCUCAAAGGCACCGAUUUCUUCUGAUCCGUUAAGGAAAACAAGAAAAAUAAAAAGAAAAGAAAAAGGGUACUUGUGCCACACAACCUUGACGCCUAGCUACAUGGUACAUUCUCUUUGUGUGUUUGAACCAAUUAACAAUAAUGGUGCCUUUACUUCUUGGACUGGAGAAUCGAAAUCCGAAAUCGAAAUCAUUAAUGAUGUUUACUUCAUAAAAUGGAGGCUGGGAUCCGAAUCAGAACUAUGGGGACCACCCAAAUUAGGAGUGAGGAAUGGAAGAUUGAUUCCUAAGGAAGGUGGUGGGAAUCAAUCCCCCAUUCCCAAGAUUGAUCAUUUUGCCCCCUCUCACAAACUAUAAAAUAUCUAUUUUGUCCUCAAUUAAAAAAUUAUUAUGAUUAAUUAAUAUAUGUUUAUAAUUUAUUAAUAUAACUAUUCUAAUCAAUUUAUAUAUAUUUUAAAUAUAUUAUUAUUAAAUAAUUAAUAUAUUAUUAUAAUUAAUUAAUAUAUUUUGAAUUUUUAUUAUUAUCGUCAUCAUCAUCAUUAUUAUUGUUAUGAAUGAUAAAUUUUUUUACAAUUAAUUAGUAUAUUAAUAUAUUAUUGACAAUAAUUAAUAAUAAUAAUAAUUUUUGAAUAAAUAAAUAAAUAAAAUUAAUUACUGAAUUUGAACAUUUUACAAUUAUUCUAUUAUUUGGACUUAUCGAGAACUUACAUGCAGCGUAGCUAGUUUGCUAGCAUAUGUAAGGUUUAAUUUGAAUGCAUGCAGCAUUGAGAAGAGACAACGCAGAAACAAAAUUUCCGCUUGCAAUCUUUUCAUUUCCCUUUUUAAUAACAAGCAAAAUAGAGGAUAAACAGGGACUUUGUUUUAAUUCUCCUGUUUUUCUGUUUGGUGAUUUUAAAAUUUUAUGUCUAUAUUUAUCAAAAAAAGUUAUCCAAAAUUAUUAUCUAUUUUUGAUACACGUUGAUUUAUUAAAAAAAAAUUAAAAACUUCAUUUCUAAAUUUAUCGUUGUGCUUUGACCUUGGGGUGGUUUUUUUCUGUUUUUUUACGUAGGCCAGAACCUUAAUGAAGAAAGUUUUCAUCGUUAAUUGCUUUUGACCUAGGAGAAUUUAUUCUUGGACAAAUUAACACCUUUGUCUUUUGAUGCGGCUCCUAGAUAUCUAUGCAAUUUGUGUCAUUUACUUUUGCUUUGUAUUCUUUUUUAAAUGAGUCCCGAUUGGUUCAUUUGCAGAUAAAUGAGUCAGUUUUUCUGUUUUUAUUUUUUGAAAGACGGUUUUUCUGUUACGAAGCUUUUCAUGGAUGAAUAUUUUUUUUUUAAUUUUAUAGAUUCUCUGCGAGUUUUGUUAGGUAGAAGGGUAUUUAAGUAUUUUCAUUUCAUAUUUUGACAUUUCCUUGACCUUUGAAGUAUUGAAUCAUUGUGCAGGUAUUUAAGUAAAUCUGCCCACAAUGAAGAAUAGUUCAGAACAGUUGCGGAAGAUAAAUGGCUCAAAUAUAUGCGUUAUGAUCUUUUAAUAUUUCGCCUCUGAUAUUGUCCACAUUGCUUACUGCAAUAGAUAAAGCACUUCGUUUACCCCAAAUCCUGAUAGGGAAGUAUAAAUAUGUGCUUCCGAAAUAGUGCAACUCUCCAUAAUUAUUUAAUAUGCCUCUCAAUGAAGCAAUCACCUUCAUUUACAAUUCUUCGAUUAUUAAUCCUACAUACACGUGUUUCUUUUGUCUCUAAAAGUAUCCUCAAUUAAUUUACAUAAUUUAAUAUAAUAAGUACCUAAGACUAGACAAAUUAUCAUUAUAAUAGUAUUGACACAAUAAUGUCAAUAAUAAAUGCCUUAACAAACCUAUAAAUUUUAGAAUAUGGCUCAGAGUGCUACAAUGAACCACAACAAGUUAUUAUAUUGUCUAUAAUCAAUAUUCCAAUGGUAAUAGAGUUUUUUUAUUUUCAAUCCGCUGCUUUUCUGUUUAGCGAUUGCCAAAUUUUAUAUCUAAAAUUCUUCUAAUUUUAUAUCUAAAAUUCUUCUAAUUUUACACUAAGGUUUAUUUUUUCAAAAAAGGGGGGGGGGGGGGGGGGGGGGGGGGGCAGGAGAGAGAGACUUAGAGAGUAUUAAAAAAUGUAAUUCUAAAUUUUUACUUGAGUGUUGUGUGAUUUUGAUCAUUUUUUUAAAGUUGGCCAUUUAUAUUGAAUAAAUAAAAUAACGAAUAGACGUUUGGACCACUUCUUUUCUGUUAUAAUAAAACAUGAGAUGUCUUCUCUUGAUGUUUUCGUCACAAAAGAAUAUGUUUAAUUAUGUCAUCAUAGGCUUAAAUGGGAUGCCUUUUCUGUUAUAAGAUCGAGAACAAGUUUGUUUAAGCACUAGAGCCGCUAAAUAAAAGAAAGGCUCAUAUAAAAAUUACCUAAAGCACCAAAUAUUGUUAUUCAGCUACUUCUUUUAUGUUACAUUAGUUUCUACGCAAAUUUAUAUAAAUAAUUUAUAACUCCCAUCAUUAUUUAAAAAAUAAAAACCAUAGCAAUUGUGGUUAUAUCAUGUGGUGUGAUCUUUUGACAAUCCUCCCACAUCCCACCAAAAACUCUCACAUGGCGUGAACUUUUGACAAUUCUUCCAUAUCCCACCAAAAAUUUGUCAUGUUGCGAAAGGCAAUGUCAAUUGUAUUGUCAUUUCCAUUAGUUAUAGUGGCAGACAAUGUAGUCCCGGGAUAAGACUAGAAGUUUUUGAAACCCAUGGACUUAUUCUUACUUUAUUUUUUCUUUUGAAAAUGAGAAAAGGACACCCGUUUCGGGAAAUAAUUUUGUAGAAUCUCAUAUCGUGAAUAAGAGAUAAUAAGACUUUUCUUUUUUACUUUACUGCAAUACUCUUUAAUUUUAUUAAUUUUAUAUUUUAUAAUAAAUAUAAAUAUGAUACUAAAAUAAAUGUAAUGAUAUAUACAUAUUAAAAUAAUUGGAUAUUGAAAAAUAUUUUAAUAUUUUACAAUCCCGUAUAAUAUUAAACCAUAUUAUAAUAAAUAGACAUAAUAUUAAUAUAUAUAUAAGUUUAAAUUAUUUUGAAUAUCAUAUAAAAUAAUUUUAAUAUUAUUAAUAAAUCAGAAGUAUUACAUUAAUUGUAAAAUCUAUUUAAUCCAAGGAUUUAUUUAAAAUUUUUAUAAUAAAUUAAAAAUAUAUUGGUUAACAUUUUAACAAUUAAUAAUGAAAUUAAUUAUUUAAGUUAUAUAUAUUAGUCUACUAGAAAAAUUUAAACUACUUCAAUCAGAUUUACAUUUAAUGAAAAAAUUUGAAGUUAAUUUUCUUUUUAUCAUCUACUACGAAUCUUGUAGUUAAAAGAGGUAUUGACAUUCUUUAUUAAAAAUUUGAGGUCUACAUAACUAUUUUUUUUUUUAUUUUAAGGGUGUCAUUUUAUUUUUGACAAAAAUAAAAUUUCAUUUAAAUGGCUAAAAUGGUGAAUAAUACAAUGUUACAGCUGGCGUAAAUGGAAGGUAGGAAACAAUCAAAAUGACCAACAGUCUAAUGCCACAGCAAGGACAUGAGGUCAAAAAAUUCCCUUAUUAAUUAGUAAAAGAGAGUCACUUGGGCUUAUGGCGGGCAAAAUCGGAUAUAGAUCAGAUUCAAAUUAAUCCGAUAAAUUUGAUAUUGUUUGCAUUGAUAAAAAAAGUCACCCAAAUGCAAUCUAAACAUGUGUGUGUGUGUAUACAUAUUUGUUAUAAAUUAAAGUUACAAAAGUCUUUAACCAAGGCCAUUCAUAGUAAGUUUCAAAUUUUUAGGUUAAUAUCUGUAACUUCAUCAUGCUGGCCAUAAAUAAAGCUUGCAGGUCUAGGCGGGAUUGACUCGAGUUUUUUUGCCAAUCCUACGCAUGACGGGCGGUGUUAGGAAUAAUAUCCUGCAUCAAUUGAGUAUUGAACUUGGGUUCAGCAUAUAAGAUUUGGACAACUCUUAACUCUUGAGCUAACUUACUAAGUUUUGGAUUGAGUUAAGCAUGUAUGCUUCAAUAUCACAAAUUAGUCUUUCGUUACCAUUACUUAUUUUUUCUAUUGUUUAAUCCUAACACAAUAAAUGACCUUUCAUCCCAAAAGAACUAAAGUAAUCAUUUUAGACGAAUUAAGACACCAUAAAGUAAAUCUGCACACUAUGAAAAAUACUUUGGAACAGUUAAGGAAGCGUGAGAAUACUUGGGGAAAGCUUCAUAAUUGUUACGGCCGGAUCUACACUCUUUCCUCUAUAUGCAAUAAAUAUAUGCGUUAAUGAUCUCUCAAUAUUUUGCAUCCGAUAUUGCCCACAUCGCUUACCACAAUAUAUUCACUUUAUAAACAAAGUUUACAACCCAAAUACUAAUAGAGAAUAUAAAUAUGUACUUGUCAAUGAAGCAAUCACCUUUAUUUAGAAAUUUUUUAUUAUUAAUCCUACGUACACACACCUCUUUUGUCUCCAAAAAUAUUCUUAAUUAAUCCACACAAUUUAAUACAAUAAAUACCUAAGAUUACACAAAUUUUCAUUACAAUAGAAUAUAUAAUUUAUAAUAUUAUUGAUACAAUGAUGCCAAUAAUAAAAAUCCUAUAAACCUUACAAAUUUUAGAAAAUGGCUUAGAGUGUGACAGGUUGAAUGAACCACAACAAAUCAUUUACAUUAUAGUAUCUAUGAUCAAUAUUCUAAUGAUAAUAGGGCUCCUCCAUUUUCAUUUCCCUACAUUUUCUGUUUGGUGAUUGUCAAAUUUUAUGUCUAAAAUUUUUCUAAUUUUACAGUGAGGUUUAUUUUUUAAAGAGAGAGAGAGAGAGACUCAAAGAGAAUUAAAAAAAAUGUAAUUCUAAAAUUUUACUUGUGCAUUUUGUGAUUUUUACCAUUUUUUAAGUUGGCAAUUUGUAUUGAAUAAAUAAAAUAAUAAAUAGACUUAUGGACCACUUUUUUCUGUUAUAAUAAAAAUCAGAGGUCCUUUCUUGAUGUUUUCUUUCCAUAUGAAUAAAUUAGAAUUUUAUUGGUACAGUAAUGUCAAUAAUAAAAUUCCUAACAAACAUACAAAUUUUAGAAUAUGGAUUAAAGUGUUACAAGUUGAGUGGAUCACAACAAGUUAUUUAUAUUGUAGUGUCUAUGAUCAGUAUUUCAAUGAUAUCAAGGGUCCUCUAUUUUCUUUCCCUUGCAAUUUUUGUUUGGUCAUCGCCAAAGUUUAUAUCUAAAAUUUUUCUAAUUUUACACUGACAUUUAUUUUUUUUUUAAAAAAAAGAGAAAGAGAGACACGGAGAGAACUAAAAAAUGUAAAUCUAAAUUUUUGCUUGUGCGUUAUGUGAUUUUUAUCAUUUUUUAAGUUGGCCAUUUGUAUUGAAUAAAAAAAGUAAUAAAUAGACUUAUGGACCACUUGUUUUUUUAUUAUAAUAAAACAUUUUCUUCUCCUGAUGUUUUUCAUCUCACAGGAAUAUAUUUAUCUCAUCGUGGGCCCAAAUGGGGUAAAUAAAUUGGGAUCAAGGACAAGUCUGUUUAAGUGUUGAAAUUGCAAGAAGACCUCAUAAAAAAAAUUGCCUAAAGCCCCAUUAUUGUUAUUCAACUAUUACUUUCAUGACACUUACACAAAUAAUUUAUAACUCCAUCUUUAUUUAGGGAAAAAACUGUAGCAAUUGUUGUUAUAUCACAGGAACAAAUUCCAAUUAAAAAUAUAAUAAGAAUUAAUUGCAAAUUUUGUAAUAAAUAUCAAUAUAAUUUAAUAGUUUAAUUUUUUUUGGUAGAGUAAUAUAAUUUAAAAAAUUAAUAUUUAAAAAAAUAAUAUCAGUAUUACUUUUUAAAAUGCAAAUUAUUAAAAUUAUAUUAAUAAUGUAUUUUUAUUUAUUAUAAAAUUUAUUUUAAUAAAAUCUUAAAUUUUUUUAAAUAUUUGUAUAUAUUGUUAUAUGUUAUUAUAAUAUUAUAUUUAUAUUUAUUAAAAUAUAAGAGUUAAUAUUUUUAAAUUAAUAAAGACAAAAAGUAUUAUAAUAAAAAAGAAUUCUUUUAUUAAAAAUAUAAUCAUUCUCCCAAACUUAUCCUUGUCCCUUUUUGAAAGGAAAAAAUAAAUUAGAAAAGUCUAUGGUCAUGAUAACUUCUAGCCUUGUCCCGUGGGACAUGGCUACGGUGCAGAAGCUGAAAGUAACAGCUUCGAACUUUCCCAUUUCCAUCACCUUGUUGAUGGUUGUUGAAGCCAAUAAAAAUAAAUUCCUACUCUAAAUAAAUUGUGUAUAGUGAUUGAGCAGGGUCGUGUCCACAGAGAUCGGUAAUUAUUUAAAUUCUUUUGAAACGUAAAACGUAAAAUGGGAGAAUUGUUGACAAUAAUAAAAAAUCAAAUUAAAAUAACAAAAAUGCAAAUUAAAGUUGUAAUUCAAAUUGGAGAAAGCUUUGGUUGAAGGAAUUAACUCAGUUUGAUUCGACUACUGAUCAUUGAUUCAAAAAUAGAUUAUUAUUACUUAUGAAUAAACUGGUUAUAGCUAUUGAGACCCUCUAAUAGCCAAUCUCUCCUUAACUAGUCGAUAACCAAGGUACGACUAUUGGAUAUUUCCCUAAUCAAUAGACAACCCUAGAUACGAUCAUAGGAUUUAAUCAAUUGACAGCCUGAAAAACCAGAGCGACCCAAAUCCUAAUCAACACAUAUGAUGAUUCAUUUAAAUUAGAUUGUUUAUUCCCAUAACACAACUCACUGCUAUGUUAUUUGUCACAAACAUUAAACUCGUCAUACGAUGAAUUCUUUAAUUGACAAUAGAUUAAGUUGAUAAUUAAAUAGUGGCCAAUUACCUAAUUAACAAACAUAAUCAUGAAACUAAUUCAGAGAAUAAACAAAUACCCAAAAAGUAAUAAAACAAUUAAAGCAUAAGAAAGAUCUCACAGUAGUGAUGAAUCAAAAAUUCAUUAACCUUCAACUAGAAAAAAUAAGUUUAGUUUUUCAUAGAGAGAAGAGAAAAAUUAGAUCUAGGGUUUCUUUCUUUUUCUCCAAUUAAAAUCCCCCCUUUUUCACAAUAGAUUCCUCCCUUAAAUACUCUCUCUCUCUUCUCUUUUAAAGUUCUAUUUAAAAUAAAAUAAUAAUAUUUGAAAUAUUAAAUUCGUAAUUACAAAAAUAGCCAAAAAUACAAAACACAUUAAACUAAAAACUGCAGGUCCGCAGUUGACAGCACGCGCCCACGCCUUAUCUAUAAAGUUCUUCUGACGCUCUAAAUUUCUCCAAGAGAACAAUCAUCUUUAAACAUCAUCUUAUACCUCAAUUCUAUCACAAAUCAAUAGAAUUGCACUUACAAAAGUAAAACACAAGUAAAUCAUUAUUAUUAAAUGCAAAACAUCGAUAUUAAGGGAAGUAAACAAUGCAAAACUAGUGUAUAAAUUGUACUCUAACACUUGUAUUGGGACCUCUUUCUCUCUCCUAUAGCCCCCAUGGAAGUUCCCCAUUGGCUGCUGUUACUUACAGAAGCCGUAACAUAGACUUCUAGCCAUGUCCCGUGAUGUCCAUUGUCUGCCACUAUGAAUAAUGGCAAUGACAUUGCAAUUGAAACAUUGAAAAGGUAUUUUCGCAAUAUGACAAAGCUUUUGUUAGGAUAUGGGAGGAUUGUCAAAAGUUCACACCACUUGAAACUAGAAUUAGAUCUAAUUUCAUUUAUUUCAUAAAUUAGAAAAGUCUAUGGUCGUGAUAACUUCUAGCCGUGUCCCGUGAUGUCCAUUGUCUGCCACUAUGAAUAAUGGAAAUGACAUUACUAUAAUAAAAUGACAUUGCAAUUCCAAUAUGCAAUUGAAAAGUCUAUGGUCGUGAUAACUUUUGUAAUAUGACAAAGUUUUUGUUGGGGUAUGAGAGGAUUGUCAAAAGUUCACACACCACAUGAAACUAGUGUUAGAUCUAAUUUUAUUUCGUCCGUUCCUUAUAUAUUUAUUUCAUACAUAUAUGUCUUAGGGUGAUAUUGUUUUGUAAAGAUAUAAUAGUAAGGUACUAUAAAAAGAAAAGAACUGUGUGUAUACUUCCCAGUGUAAUAAUUAUAUGUAGAAGAAAACUAACAAGAGGAAAAAUGACAAAGAGCAAGGCGCUGGUUGUUGGGAGAAGAGGACAUGUCGGCAGAGGAUAGAGAAGCCAAUCUUAGCCUUGUUGAUUGAGGGCUCAUCUUCUGAUCAUCGUAGCCUUGUUGGAGCUGUCAAACAAGUCGAUGUUGUCAUUUAAGGAGCCACAACAUUUUGAUGCUGCUUAAACUUGUUGGGGCCAUCAAAUAAGCUGUAAAUAUUAAGGUACGUAAGCCUUAAUUUUUAUGUAAUUUUAAUUUCAGAUCCAAAAUUGCAUGCAAGCCAUUAAUUUCUUUCCUUUUUUAUUUUUGAUUUGAUGAGGUGCUUGAUUUGGUCGGGUGUGUAUUUUUUCUUUGUUCUUUUUUUUUUUAAAACAUAAAUCUCCAAAUCGGGUUGGAGCGGGGAUUCUAACCCUACGAUGGCCAUAUUAAAAUUUAAAAUUUUUUAAUUUAUUUUUCUACAUCUCAAUAUUUGAAAAAAUGAUUAUAUAGAUCUAUAUAUUUUCAAUAAGAGAUACUAAGAUACUCUUUUUUACUAUAACACCUACUAGCUCUAUUAACUCAAAAAAUUAGCUUCAAUGUUAAUAUAUAUAUUUUAAAAUAAUUUUAAUAUUUUAAAAAAAAUGAAAAAAAUAUUUUAAUACUUUACAAGCUUAUACUAUAUUAAACUAAAUUUUGUAAUAAAUAGAAACUUAAUAUAAAAUAAAUGUCUAAAAAUUUAAAUUAUUUUCAAUAGCAUAUAGAAUAAUUAUAAUAUUAUUAAUACCUAAGAUAUAUUAAAUUAAUUAUAAAUUCUAUUUAACACAAAUAUUUAACUAAAUUUUUUAUAAUAAAUAUAAAUAUAUUAUUAAAAUAAAUCUAAUAAUUAACAUUUUAAAAAAUAAUACUGAAAUUAAUUUUUUAAAUUAUACUAACACUAGUUUCACGCUGUGCGAACUUUUGACAAAAACUGUUAAUUGCAAUUUCUUUUGAAAACAAUAGAUCAAAUCAUUAAAGUGCAUGUGAUGAUUUGCUGUUUAAUUAUUUCUUUAGAAUAUAUCCAAACGUAAGGUUGUGAACUAGUGCUUUCUUCAACUUAAUUGGGUCCAACAAUACACUGCAGCUUCCUCUUUUGGUCAUUCCAAGUUUAAUUCUUCAUGAAAAUCUUAGACACUAAUACAAGGAUAUCGAAUCCAAAAUUAUAAUAAUACAUGUAAUUAUUCUAUACAUGCGUCAACAAGGCAACAGUAACCAAAUACAUGAUAUGCAAAGGGGGUGCAUGAUUAAGUCCUUUUUUUAUUCAAUUCAUUGUUAUUAUUCUCAUCAACUCUUUUCUCACUUAUUUUUCAGCAGUUACCAGUGAUCUUUUUGCUCUUUAAAAUUAUUCUUAAAUAUUCAAGGCUAAAUAGAGAAGCUCAUCAACUAUCUGAUCCCGGAUAAUUAAAGAGGUGAACUUGUUCUAAAUCCUUUGAUAAUUUCUAUUAAUAGCAUAAUCUCCUUGAUCUUGACCGCAGUUAUUUCUUAAUGUCCAAGAAAAAAAUAUCUCCUGUUUGUCUUAAUCUUGUCAUUUAAUUUUCUUGAUUUAAGUUACUGUUCAUUGUUAACUUCUGUGUUCUUGUUAUUAGCAUUUGUUAAUUUGCAUCUCUCCUCUAAAAUAGUUUCUAAAAAAGAAUGUUGCUUUUCAUUCAUACCCUUGAAACCUUUCAGUUAAUAGUCAAAACUCUAAUCUUUCAGUUAAUUUAUUUGAAUCCAAUUUUUUCAACAGCAAAUACACACACACAUUGUUAAGCAACAGCCAAAAAAGUGCAGAAAAACCAGUCAAAUUUAUACAUGCGUCAACAGGGAAACAGUAACCAAAUAGGUGAUACAAAAAGGGGUGAAUGAUUCUGUCUUUUCCUUUUGCAAGUCGCUGUUAUUACUCUCAUCAACUUCUUUCUCGCACAUUUCUCAGCAGUUACCAGUAAUAUUUAAAAUCGCUGUGUAGAUAUGCAAAAGUUCCGUAAGUGCAUUAAUAAUUAUUUGCCAGAAAAAAAUAGUUGCGUCAAUAUUAAAGGAAUUGACAUCCAGGGGACCCAAUUUAGUUGCUUAAUGAUUAUUUAAUUAAUUAAUUUAUAAUAUAUUAAUCUUUUAAGUUGAAUAAUUAAAAUCUUAGACCCGAAACAAUAAAUCAUCUGAGGCAUAUAAAAGAGAAAUUAUCAUCCUAUUUUUUCUUUUUUCUUUUUAACUUCUUGUAGCUUAUAAAAGAGAAAUUAUCAGUCAUUUACUCAAAGUUUAUUCAAUUAUUAAAAUUAUUAUAAAAAUUUAAAUUUAUUUAAUUUUACAUCCAAUGUAUGCAAUUUGUAUGAAACAUCUGUUAAAAAUAUAAAGUUAUUCGUUCAAAGUGACAAAAUAGAACCGAACACAAAAUUGUAGUGGUGAUUAUGUUUUAGGAGUAACUUUAUUUUUUUAGUAAACAGUUGAUACACAUUGUAAUAAUGGGUAUAAAAUUAAAUAUUUUUAAAUUUUUAUAACUUUUUGGAUAAUAAGAUAAUUCUUAGAUGGAUAAUUGAAAAUUUUUCUUUUCAAAAUAUUUUGAAAACAAUACCAAAUGUACCAAAACAUUGUUUACUUUCACUCUCUCUCUCUCUCUCUCUCUCUCUCUAUCUAUCUAUCUAUAUAUAUAUAUAUAUAUAUAUAUAUAUAUAUAUAUUAUUUCUUAACUCAUUCUUAUCCUUAUUCUUUCUAACAUAUCCACAAUCUGUCAAUGAAAUUUACUUUUAUAAAUUUGAAGAUUUUUUCAUGCAAUUUUAUACGAUGAUGAGUUCUCAUGUUUCUGUUAAAAAAUAAUUCGUAAAUAAUACAAAUGAAAAAAACAAAAAGUAGCAGGGCUGGCAAUACAAAACCAUAACUUUUUUUCUUUGAAUUUUGCAUAAACAAAGUCAAUAGUGAUUUGUCAGCACGAUCUUGAGAGCACGGCUUGGAGUCUCAAUAAUUAUUGACACUCAUAUUUGAAAACUUUCGAAAAGAUAAAAUCCAAUAUGAAAGGUGAAACGUUAUAAUCAUAGUAACUAGAAAAUGGAUUGAUUUACAAAUAUCAAUUUAAACAAUUUUCAUGUUGAUCGACAAUUUAAGUAGAUUGACAAAGAUUGAAGUAAUUACUGUUGGUGAUUGAUUGACUUUGUCCUUAUCCUUGCCUUCUUCUUAUCAAAAAUCGAGUGUCAAUUAAAUUGGGCCAGGGUUUCUGAUUGCAACUAAUGGACUUCAUAUACGCAUAAUGGUCCCUACGUACAUACGUACCAAUAUUUGAUUGAUAAAGGGGGUGCAUGCUUAAUGCUCAAGUCGUCUUCUUUUGGAAAUUCAUUGUUAUUACUCUCAUCAACUCGUUCCUCACAUUCCUCUUUAGUCAAAACCUGUAAUAUUUCUUCUAUAUUCAAGGUGAAUACAGCAGCUCAUCGACUCUGAUCCCAGACAGGUAAAGAGGUGCACUUGUUCUAAAACCUGUAAUAUUCUUUUAGUAGCAGAAUCUCUGAUACUUGAUCUUCAUAGCGGUUCUUUCUUAAUUUCCAUCAACUUUCCUAGGAAAAAAUUCUCUGGUUUUUCUUAAUCAUAUCAUUUACUUUUCUUAAGUCAUAUCAUUUAUUUUUAGUAGCAGAAUACUUGAUCUUGAUAGCCAUUCUUUCUUAAUUUCCAUCAACUUUCCUUAAAGGAUACCUUUCUGUUAAUAGCGAAACCUCUGAUCCUUAAGAUAGAAAAAGAAAUUCUCUACUUAUGUAUCAGUUGGUUCAAAAUCAAUAUCGCGAUGUUGUUUGCGGUCUUUUCUUUCUCUGUCUUUCCCUCUAGUUCAUUUUAAUUUAUUUGUAUUCCUUUCUUUGACAUUUUUAUUCAUUUUAUUCAUAUAUAUACAUAUAUUGUUAAGCAACAGGCAAUGGUUGCAGAAGUGGGUCUGGCUGCUUUUUCCAGCAUCGUAUCAGAAGAUGCAAAGUCACUGUUCAAACCGAUUAUACGGCAGAUCUCUUAUGUGUUCAAGUACCAGAGCUACAUAGAUGGCCUAAAAGAUCAAGUGAAACAGUUGGGAUAUAAAAGAGAAAGGGUGGAAAUACCCGUUCAUCAGGCUACUCAACAAGGAGAUGAGAUUUAUAAGGAUGUUGCAGACUGGCUUAAUAGCGUCAAGGAAUUCACUCAGGGAGCUGCGAAAUCCAUCACUGAUGAUGAAGAUAGAGCUAAGAAGUUCUGUUUCAAAGGAUUGUGCCCAAACUUGAUUUCUCGUUACAAGCUCAGUAGACAAGCAGCAAAGGCCGCAGAAGCUGCUGCUAGUCUCAUGGGAAAAUGUAACUUCUCUAAUGUUUCCUACCGUCCUGCUCCAAAGCGGGCAGAACAUAUGCAAGUGAAAGAUUUCGAGGCCUUUGAUUCAAGAAUGAAAGUAUUUGAAGAUGUUGUGGAGGCGUUGAAGGAUGAUAAGCUCAAGAUAAUUGGGGUCUACGGGAUGGGCGGCGUGGGUAAAACCACGCUAGUCAAGCAAGUUGCAAGGCAAGUUAUGGAAGAUAAGGUGUUCGACAAGGUCGUUAUGGCUGAGGUAACACAGACCCCAGAUCAUCAGGAAAUUCAAAAGAAACUUGCUUUUGACUUAGGCAUGAAAUUUGGCUCGGAUGAGAAUAAAUUCGAAAGAGCAGAUCGAUUACGUGAAAGAUUGAAGAACGAGAAGCAGGUCCUCGUUAUAUUGGAUAAUAUUUGGAAAAAACUCGAGUUCGAAAAAGUUGGAAUUCCUUGUGGGGAUGUUGAUGAGAAAGAUACAAAGGAUGAUCAGAGACGAUGCACAAUAAUAUUGACGUCUAGAAGUCGAGAUUUAUUGCGCAUUGAUAUGAAUUCUCAGAAAAAUUUCCCGAUCGAUGCUUUGCCACCAAAAGAAGCAUUGCAGUUAUUUGAAAAGAUAGUGGGUGAUUCAACUAAAAUAUCUGCUUUUCAAAGUAUAGCAAAUGAGAUCGUUGAAAGAUGCGGAGGUUUGCCUGUUGCACUGAGUACAGUUGCAAAUGCUCUGAAAACUAAGGAUAGUUACUUUUGGAAAGAUGCAUUGAAUCAGCUAAGAAGAUCGGAUGCUAGAGAAAUUCAUGGCAUGCAAGCAAAUGUGUACACCUCCAUAAAAUUGAGUUAUGACUUCUUGGAAAGUGAGGAGGCAAAAUCUCUGUUCCGUCUUUGUAGUCUAUACAGUGAAGGUAAUGUCAUACAAGUUUCUGACUUAUUGAGAUGUGGUGUGGGUUGGGGUUUGUUUGAAAAUGUUUACACAUUGGAAGAAGCAAGGAGUAGAGUGCAUCGGUUGAUCGACAACCUCAAAUCUUCAUGCUUAUUGUUGGACGGUGAUGCUGAAGAUGAAGUUAAAAUGCAUGACGUCAUUCAUGUUGUUGCCGUAUCAAUUGCCAGAGAGGAGCGCAUGUUUAAUGUUCCAAAUGUUGCUGACUUGGAGAAAAAGAUGGAAGAGACAAUACAGAAAGAUCCAAUUGCUAUUUCAUUACCUCAUAGAGAUAUUCAAGAGCUCCCUGAAAGGUUGCAAUGUCCCAAUCUCCAGUUAUUUUUGUUGUAUACGGAGGGUAAUGGCCCUAUGCAAGUUUCAGACCACUUUUUUGAAGGGAUGGAAGGACUCAAAGUUUUACAGUUUCCUGGAAUUGGCUCUUCUUCAUUACCUUCAUCACUUGGUCGCCUCAUUAACCUUCAAACAUUGUGUUUAGACUGGUGCGAACUAGCAGAUAUAGCGGCAAUUGGACAACUAAAGAAAUUAGAGAUUCUCAGCCUCGCAUAUUCCAAUAUCAACCAGCUACCAGUUGAAAUUGGACAAUUGACGCGGUUACAAUUGCUAGAUUUGAGCAAUUGUUGGUGGCUUGAGGUGAUAGCACCGAAUGUCAUAUCAAAAUUAUCUCAAUUAGAAGAAUUGUAUAUGGGUAACGGUUUUUCAGGGUGGGAGAAGGUUGAAGGAGGAAGUAAUGCCAGUCUUGUCGAAUUGGAGAGGUUGACAGAGCUAACUACUUUGGAGAUAGAAGUUCCGGAUGCCGAAAUUCUGCCGCCGGAUUUUGUCUCUGUGGAAUUGCAAAGAUAUAAGAUACGUAUAGGAGAUGGGCCCGAAGAUGAGUUUGACCCAUUGCUCGUCAAAUCUGAAGCAUCAAGAUUGAUGAUGCUCAAGGGGAUAAAAAAAGUUAGCAUUCUUCAGGAGAAUGAUGGGACAAAAAUGUUGCUGCAGAGAACUGAAGAUCUCUGGCUAGAAACAUUGGAGGGUGUUCAAAGUGUUGUUCAUGAAUUAGACGAUGGGGAAGGUUUUCCACGAUUGAAGCGUCUUCUCGUAACAGACUGUUCUGAGAUUUUACAUAUUGUCGGUUCAGUUAGGGUUCGUUGCGAAGUCUUUCCCUUGCUGGAGGCAUUGUCUCUUAUGUUUUUAACUAAUUUGGAGACGAUAUGCUACAGCCAACUCAGAGAAGAUCAAUCCUUCAGCAACUUAAGGAUUAUAAACGUAGAUUCCUGUCGAAAAUUGAAGUAUCUCUUCUCAUUCUCUAUGGCCAAAAACCUAUUGCGGCUUCAAAAAGUAAAAGUGGAAGACUGCGAUGAUUUGAAAAUGAUUAUUGGUAAGUGUUGAAAUUAAUUAUUGGUAGGAUUAUUGACAUUGACUCUUUCUUUUUUUCUUUUUCUUUUUUUGGGGAAAAAAACAACGGAUGUUUAUUAUAUAUUGUUUUGGUUCAUUUAUAGGGCCCGACAUGGAGAAACCAACAACAACUCAGGGAUUCAUAGAAAUCAAUGCAGAGGAUGAUCCUGUUCACCAGGUAAUAAUUUUCUGUUUAAUAAUUAAUUAAUUAAUAUAUUAUCACGAUUGAGCUUCAAUCAUCGAAAGAAUAUUAUAUUAGAAGUUGUAGUUGAAGGAACAAAAAUGUAUGGUUUUUCUUUGCAGGUUACUUUUCCACGCUUGGAGGAACUGGAACUUGUCAGUUUAACAAAUAUCAAAAAAUUAUGGUCCGAUCAAUUUCAGGGAAUAUAUUGUUGUCAAAAUUUAACAAAAGUGACCGUGUGGAGUUGUCAUCGUCUGAAGUAUUUGUUUUCAUAUUCUAUGGUUAAUAGUCUUGGGCAACUCCAACAUCUUGAGAUUCGUAAUUGCCGGUCAAUUGAAGGGGUAGUCAACACCACGACGUUAGGAGGAAGAGAUGAAUUUAAGGUUUUUCCCAAACUACACUACCUGUCGCUCCAUUGGCUUCCAAAACUAAGUAGCUUUGCCUCACCAGAAGACGUCAUUCACACUGAAAUGCAACCUCAAUCCCUCUUUGAUGAAAAGGUUUUUUUUCAUUGAAUUUUUAAAUUCUCUUUUCGUUGAGUCUUCAAAUUUAAUUAAUAUACAUCUCUAAUUGCAUUGAAUUUUUAACUUCAGGUACGACUCCCAAGUCUGGAGGUAUUAAAUAUUAGUGAGGCGGAUAAGUUGAGAAAAAUAUGGCACCACCAGCUUGCUUCGAAGUCUUUUAGCAAAUUGAAAAAAUUGAAGAUAUCUGGGUGUAAUAAUCUACUGAAUAUUUUUCCUCCAUUGGUAAGAUUGCUAUAUUCAUUUUGAAUUUUUAUUUCAAGUAACAUUCAACAAUUAUUUUAAUCAUUUUUGUGUUUACAAAUAAUUUUCAUUCACAAAUUAUUUAUUGCAAGUAUUUUACUUCAAACUUCAGGAGGGCAAAAAAGUAGUGUACUUCAAAUCACCAUUCUGAACUCUGCAUUGUCAAUCUAAUUUAUAGGUUCACCCGCAUUAAAGUCAACGAUAUAAUUGUUUUAAACACGAUUUAACAGCAUAAUAUAAUUCAAUUUAAUUGUUUUUUUCCUUAAAUCCUAAUAAAUAAGAUUUUUAGAAAUUAAAAGAUACUUAGUUACUCAGCUUUUAAGCUCACAAAUUCAUAUAUAUUUCUCUUUUCCUUGGGUCUUCAAAUUUCGAUUUAAAAAAAAAUAAAAGAAAAGUGUUCAAAUGUAGUUAAUAUCUCUAGUUUAGUUAUGAAUUGAUUACGCCAUUGAUUAAGCACAAAUUCAUGAUGGUCAUUUUGAAUCGACCGUUGAUUAAAAAAAUUCCUCAAAUAUUCACUCUAUAACAGUCCCAUGUUGAUGGCGUUGGGAAGUGUUUUCCAGAAAUGUUUUUCCAUUUUUAAAAGCAUGAAUAUCGGGAAAAAAAAAAGGGAAAUACAGCGUUUUAGUUUAGUUAUUUUAAAAAUAGGCAUGUUUGAAAAUUAAAAAUUUUAAAAAACUAGCAUCAAGAUGAAAAAUGAAUUUAGAAUAUUUAAAAAUUACCUGAAAUUCUUUCUCCGUUCCUAAUACUAAAUAGUGUAAAUGCAUUUUCAUUAUCUUUGUUUUUCUGGACUUCUAUUUAUUUAUUUUUAUUUUUUCUUUUUUUUCUUUAACAAAAAAUAUCUAGUAGACAUUCAUGGUUUGUUAUUUUUCAUAAAACAAUUGUAUGAUUUUGACAUACUUUGAAUCUAGUUGAAUGCUACUCUUUAUUUUCAGGUUGGAAUUCCCAAUAGUCUAGUGAAUCUUGAUGUAUCAGACUGUGCAAAAAUAGAAGAAAUCAUAGGACAUGUUGGAGAAGAAGCGAAGGAGAAUCGUAUUGCUUUCAACGAAUUAAAACUUUUGGAACUUGAUGAUUUACCAAGGCUUACCAGCUUUUGUUUGGAGAAUUACACUCUUGAAUUCCCAUCAUUGGAACAAGUUUCUAUGACACAUUGUCCGAACAUGAAGACUUUUUCUCGGGGAAUCUCAUCCACACCAAAGCUAUACGUAGUGCAAGUGACUGAAAGGGAAGAGGGUGAACACCAUUGGGAAGGCAAUAAGCUUAAUUCCACUAUACAAAAGUGUUACGAAGUAAUGGUAUGUGUUAAUCGAUUCACUUUACGAAGUAAUGGUGUUACGAACACCAUUACGAAGUAAUGGCAAUAAGCUUAAUUCCACUAUACCACAUUUAAACAUAUACACCUGCGUUGUAAAUAUAUUUUUAGAAGUUAAAGCACAAAACAUGUAAGUUUAAUGUAUAUAUAUAUCUAAUGCCUUUCAAAAAAAGAAAUUUAUAUAUAUCCAGUGCAAUUGUUUUGGUUUAUGCAGAUUGGAUUCCGUGACAUAGAGCAUUUGCAACUCUCACAUUUUCCACGCUUGAGAGAAAUAUGGCACGGCCAAGCAGUGCCUGUCAGCUUCUUCAACAAUUUACGACAACUGGCUGUGGAUGACUGCACGAAUAUGUCGAGUGCUAUUCCUACCAAUCUGCUACGUUGCUUGAACAAUUUGAGAUGCCUGGAAGUGAGGAAUUGUGAUUUAAUAGAAGAGGUGCUUCAUUUAGAAGAGCUAAAUGCUAAGGAAGAACAUAUAGGCCCCCGGUUUCCUAGGCUUAACAGACUAAGGCUCAUUGAUCUUCCAAAACUCAAAAGAUUCUGCAACUUCACUGGGAAUAUAAUUGAACUGUCUGAGUUGGAGAAUCUAACUAUUGAGAAUUGCCCUGAUAUGGAAACAUUCAUAUCCAACUCUGUAGUGCAUGUGACAACAAAUAACAAGGAACCUCAAAAAUUAACAUCAGAAGAGAACUUUUUGCUGGCUCAUCAAGUACAACCCCUCUUCGAUGAAAAGGUGAUUAUUAUUAUUAUUAUUAUUAUUAUUAUUAUUUUCCCCUUCACUUUUGUUCGCACAGAUGUAAUUUCAUUAGAAUCAAAUCAAAUUUUAUGACUCAUCUUUUUGCAUGUCAUCUUGAUUCAUAUAUGAAUUAACAAUACAACUACAGUUAUGAACUAACUUUAUAGUAUGAAUUAAAAAAAUGUCUUAAAUUAUUUCGAUGACUGGUAACAUGAGGUGAUGAACUAUAUCAAUUAUGCUUGUCGCAUCUCUGUUUUCCUAGCUAAUUCAUAUUGGAUUUAGUAUCAGAUUUCAUUUAUGUGUUUCAAAGGGUAAUCGAUUUGAUACUUAUAUUUGGGAUCCUACUGCAAAGCAUACUAAUUUGGAAAUAAAAUAUAAAAUGCCGUGAUUAAUCUUGUCCAUAAAAUAUGCAGGGGAAGACUGCAGAGAUUGGAUACAUACUUUCAUUUACAACUUAAUUUUGUUGAUUUUCAGCUUACAUUCCCUCAAUUGAAGGAGUUAAAGCUAUCUAGAUUACACAAAGUGCAGCAUCUCUGGAAGGAAAAUGACGAAUCCAACAAAGCGUUUGCAAACUUGAAAAGUCUAGAAAUAUUUGAAUGUAGUAAGUUACAGAAAUUAGUACCAGCUUCGUGGCAUUUGGAAAAUCUUGAGGCUUUGAAAGUAUCGAAGUGUCACAGGUUGAUAAAUUUGUUGACGCUCUCAACAUCUAGAAGUCUGAUAAUUCUUCAAAGUAUGACGAUAGCUGAUUGCAAAAGGAUAGAAGAAAUCAUACAGUCGCCGGUUGCAGAAGAAGCGAAAGAUUGCAUUGUUUUCAAGGAAUUAAAGUACUUGGGACUUGAUUGUUUGCCAAGCCUAACAAGCUUUUGUUUAGGUAAUUACGCUCUUGAAUUCCCGUCCUUGAAACAAGUAGUUGUGAGAGAGUGUCCAAAAAUGAUGAUCUUCUCUCAAGGAGUCUUAGACACACCAAUGCUAAACAAAGUGAACGUCACCGAAGAAGAAAAAGAUGAUGAUGAUGAAGGAUGUUGGGAAGGCAACCUCAAUGACACCAUAAAAAAAUUGUUCAAUGAAAUGGUGAGUAUCAAUUAAGUUUUGGUGCUAUUUAGAAAAUU